CCAGAGAAGUAGCAACUAAGCCACAUGCUGUUUGCAUUCCAUUCCCUUAUCAAAGCCAUAUAAAGGCAAUGCUUAAAUUUGCAAAGCUCCUCAACCACCGAGGUUUUCAUAUAACCUUUGUUAACACAGAGUUCAAUCACAAGCGCUUUCUUAAAUCUCAAGGACCCAAUUCCCUUGUUGGCUUGCCUGAUUUUCAAUUCGAAGCCUUCCCGGAUAGCCUUCCGGAUUCAGAUGAAGAUGCCACACCAGAUGCCACCUUGCUUUGUGAAUCCAUCAGGAAAAAAAAAUUCUUGGCUCCCUUUCAUGCCCUCCUUGCAAAACUCAACAAUGAUGCCAUAUCAACAUCCCACAAUCCUCCUGUGACUUGCAUAGUUUCAGAUGGUUUCAUGUCCGCGUUCACAAUCACAGCUGCUGAAGAAAUCGGAGUCCCUAUAGCGCUGUUCUACACUAUAGCUGCCUGCAGCUUCAUGGGAUUUAAACAACUUCGCGCUGUGGUCGAAAAAGGACUUUUUCCACUCAAAGGUGAAUAACUACGAAUUAAAAGCAAUUGUUGUUUCUAAACAUGCAAAUGAAAUGUUUCUUCAAUUGAAUUUCAUUUGUCUAUUGCAGAUGAGAGCUGUUUCAAAAAUGGCUAUCUGGACACCGUAAUAGAUUGGAUCCCAGGAAUGAGAGAUAUCCGUUUAAGGGAUCUCCCGACCUUCGCGCGAAACACAAAUCUGGAUGACACCGGAUUUAACUUCAUCAUGGAAGAAACCGAAAGAGCUCAUGAAGCUUCAGCAGUUGUUCUUCAUACUUUUCAUGCCUUGGAGACAGAUGUUUUGGAAGCUCUCUCAUCUAUGCUUCCCCAUGUGUACACCGUUGGCCCUCUUCAAUUGCAUCUCAAUCAGAUACCAGAGCACCCUUUGAAAAUGGGAUACAGUCCAUGGAAAGAAGAAACUGAAUGCCUCGAGUGGCUAAACACCAAGGCACCAAACUCAGUUGUCUAUGUGAAUUUCGGCAGUGUAGCAGUCGUGACACCAGAACAGCUUGUGGAGUUUGGGUGGGGACUUGCAAAUAGCAAGCUUCCAUUCUUUUGGGUAAUUAGACCUGAUCUAGUUGUUGGAGAAUCAGCUAUUUUGCCGCCUGAGUUUGUGGCUGAAACUAAGGAAAGAAGUCUAAUAGCUGGGUGGUGCCCACAAGAGCAAGUCCUCAACCACCCCUCAGUUGGAGGAUUUUUAAUGCACAGCGGUUGGAAUUCAACAGUUGAGAGCCUUACUGCAGGAGUUCCUAUGCUCUGUUGGCCAUUCUUCGGGGACCAGCAAAUGGACUGUCGCUAUACUUGCAAUGAAUGGGGAAUUGGCAUGGAGAUUAGUGAUGAUGCGAAGAGGGAAGAGGUAGAGAAGCUUAUCAAAGAGUUAAUGGAGGGAGAGAAGGGUAAGAAGAUGAAAAAUAAGGUCAUGGAGUGGAAGAAACUUGCAGAAGAAGCUACUGGUCCACAUGGUUCUUCAUCCACAAACUUAGACAAUUUAGUGAAUCAACUGCUAUUGAGAAAAAGUUAAGAUGUUUCCAUAAGAAUAUUGAUGUUAUUAAUUAUCAUUUCCAUUGCCAUUGUCUCAAAUAAUCAACUAUCUGGCAAUAUAUAUGUACUACUGGUCUGUAACCAUGAUGCGUACUAUAUCUAGAAUUUUAUUCUAAUUAAGGUUUUACUACGCUUCAGGCCUUCAACUCUAAAGUCUUUAUCAUUUUUCAGGCAAUUGUGCACUAACCAUGAUGCAUUAUAUUAAUAAUAUUUUAAAUCAAUAGAUUAAAAAUAUAAAGCUAUACCUUUUUCCACAAAUACCCCCGAGCUUAACGGGUUAACGGGUAUUCGUGAAUUGACACGACACGACACGAUAGCUUAACGGGUGACUAACGGAUCAAUACGAUAUCAACAUGACACCAUAACCCAUGCCUGAAUACUGAAUUUUUCGUGCGAAUUCAUGUCGUAUUAAUGGAUCGUGCACAAUAUUGUCUCCUCUAAACUUAGAUACUUUAGUCGAUUUAAGAAAAAACUAGAUGUUAUCCAUAACCAUAUCUCUAUUAUCACUGUUGAUAUCUCUAUUAUUACUCCAUAUAGCGUCCUUAUUCGUGUAUGAUGUCAUACGGAGCCUAAUAACAUGUUUUCUUGUUUUGUUCUAAAAAAGUUUUUUGAAAGAAGUAGAGACCAGUAAAUGAAAUUAAAAAAAAUUAAACCUCCAAUAAAUAUGGCCAUGGAAACAUGGUCUAACGCUAAAUAUAAAAUAAAAUAAGGGCAACUAAACUUGCCAUGGCCACAGACAUAGUGGCUUAAUAGUAAGUAAAUAAAAUUAACUUUGGAUAAACUGUGGUGAGGGAGUUGGAAUAGUACACAUUGAAAAGUAUCUCAGUUUUGCUUUAUAAAUAAUCUGCAUUUGCAAGCACUGCAAUGCACACACAAAAUCUCAGAUGGAUUCCACAGAAGUAGCUACUAAGCCACAUGCUGUUUGCAUUCCAUUCCCUGCUCAAAGCCAUAUAAAGGCAAUGCUUAAAUUUGCAAAGCUCCUCCACCAUAGAGGUUUUCAUAUAACCUUUGUUAACACACAGUUCAAUCACAAGCGCUUUCUUAAAACUCUAGGAUCCAAUUCCCUCGAUGGCUUGCCUGAUUUUCAAUUUGAAGCCAUCCCGGAUAGCCUUCCAGAUUCAAAUGAAGACACCACACAAGAUGUCGUUAAAAAAAUAAAGUUAGACCAUUUUCAACAAAGAAAUUAUGUGGAAGUUUCUUUAAAACCUUGUAUAAUUAUGUUGGAGAUAUUGACCUGAUGAUAAAGCAUAAUCUCUCAUUAAUACUUGAAUGCUUAAUCUGAAAGAAAGAAAAGAAAAGAAACAAGAAAACACAGACAAGGUUAAAGAAAAGACAAAAUCCAAAAGCUUACUUUGUUUCCUCGUCUUUCCAAAUCCAAAUCCAAAUCCAAACGCCACUCAAAUCAGUUAGGAAGUUUCUGAUUGUUUAUUUCAUUUCAUACUAGAUACAAAGAUAACAACAGCUUGAGUAAAAAAGAACAAAAUUGAUAUUUUAAAUUAGAUGCUCCAUUUCAAACCAUAGACACUCCUCUAACGUGAGCUUGAUGAUUAGGGACAAAACCACAUGAAUGUUAUUUCACCAUAAUGUUCGUUUUAGUCAUUGUACACAACUCACAACACUUUCACACAAAAAAUUAUUAUUGUACCAACAUCACUUUUAAUAAAAAGUUGUCAAAAGACAAACUGCUUUCUUUCACAACUGAUUUCUCUCACAGCAAAUCUGACUGUAAUUAUUUUCACAUCACAACAAUGCCAAACUAGCUUCGUUUUAGAUCCUUAUUUCUAUUCCUACUUGGUUUAGGAUUCCUAUUUUAAUCUUAUUUCCUACCCACUAUAAAUAAGGCUUUUAGGAAGUCACAUUAUUAUUUGUGGCUAGAGAGUGUCUAUGAGUGUGGUUACGAACCAAAUUACAAGUGAGUGUGAGGAAUUGGUAACAAUUCACUAUAGAAAUACAAGAGAAAAAAUAAUUUCAAACACUCCGAAGUUUUCUUUCUACUAACUAGCCAGGUGAUGUUGAGGGAUUAAGCCUUCUUCAAUUAUACACCAAGCGAGAAGAACCAUUCACUACUACAAAAAAGCAAAAAGACGACGGUAAAUUACCGUCGUGUAUUCGGUUUUUCAAUGGUCGUGGAAUCCACCGUCAUCUUUUUCCUCAUAAACCACGACGCUAAAUCACCGUCGUUGUUAAAAUAUACAACGUCAUCAUCAAAUACAAAACGACGUCUUUGUACUGCAAAAAGAUCUAAAAAAGCAGUCGAGGAUGAGAAUAGACGACCAACUUUCUAAAAAAACCGUCGUUAAAAAGGAAAAAUAUGACACAUAUUAACAGAACAAGGCCGCAAGAUAGACAUACAACGACGAAAAUUAAAAUAAGACGCCGUUAAAUAUCAUUUUCACGACAAUAAAAAAUAUGACGUCUUUAAAUACAUUAGAAGACGACGUUAUUGAUACCUACUACGUCGCCUAUAUAAAAACAGCCGUCCUAAAAUAAAUUUUCCACUUCGAUUUUUCUAUAAAAGAUGACGUGGAAAUAUUUGUCAGUGUCAUUAUUUACGACGUAUGUAUUUAUAGAGUAGACGUUGAACAACGAAACAACGUCGGUUACAAAUAUAUGAGAGUCGUAUUACAAAAUUUAUACGUCCUAUUUUCAGAAACAAACAACGACGAUAAAUAUUAGACGUUGUUAAAUAAAACAACGUAGAAAACAAAUAAAAACAGACGUGUUUAGUCUGCUAAAGUUCUAAAAAAUAGUCGAGGAUGAGAAUAGACGACCAACUCAAACAAAUCACCGUCGUUAAAAAGGAAAAAUAUGACACAUAUUAAAAGAACAAGGCCGCAAGAUAGACAUACAACGACGACAACUAAAACACUACGCCGUUAAAUAUAAUUUUCACGACAAGAAAAAAUAUGACGUCUUUAAAUACAUGAGAAGACGACGUUAUUGAUAUCUACUACGUCUCUUAUUUACAAACAACCGUCGUGAAAUAAAUUUUCCACUUCGAUUUUUCUAAAAAAGAUGACGUGGAAAUAGUUGUCAGUGUCAUUAUUUACGACGUAUGUAUUUAUAUAGUUGACGUUGAAAUGCGAAACAACGUCGGUGGCAUUUAUUUACGACGUAUGUAUUUAUAUAGUUGACGUUGAAAUGCGAAACAACGUCAACUAUAUAGUCGACGUUGUAUUUAUAUGUAUUCAUUACUCACAACGCACUUAUUAAUAUAGACGACGUUGAACUUCUAAACAACGUCGGUUCUAAAUAAAUGAGAGCCGUAUUACAGAACAUAUAGACGGCGUUGAUUAUGAUGAGAGCCGUAUUACAAAUAACGUCGUUUAAUUGAUAUUAGACGGCGGUUAUAAUGAAUUACCGUCGGAAUUCAUUUCGUUCCUCUUCGUUUAUAAAAGAACUUGCGACGUGGAAAAUGUAUGAUGACGUCGUAUUUUUUAACGUUCAGAUUAUAUAUCUCGUUUUUUAGACGUCGGUAUUAUGGGAUUGGAGUCGUGUUAUUUUGAAUUACAUGGCGGUUCUUAAUCCUUCCCCGACGUGAUAUCCUGAAUAAUUGCUUCACAAUAGCGUCGUGGUUCUUCAUUGUUACGUUGCUUUAAGACGUCGGUAAAUAUGCUGAAUAACUGGUUCACAAUAACGUCGUGUUUUAUUUGAACAGACGUCGUUUUUUAUGCAGAAUAUAAUGAUGUAAUCUGGAACCAGUAUUUUUUGCACUGAUUGUUUUGUGGCCAAAACCUGUAUAAUGAAAGUGAAGAAAUCACAUUACAAUAUAUUACAAAAUUAAUGUCAUACACUGCCAAUUACAUAAGCAUCAUUCAAUCCAUAUAUCUUCACACCCAUCUCGAAUAUUUUGACCACCUAACUCACCCACCAGUUCAUCAAAUGUGUCAACAUUUGGCAUCCCUCUAGUAAAUGGCUCACACUCAAUUAUGACAUCACCUAAGACUUCAACACCAAUAACAUCAUUAUAUUCUCUAUUAGGCAUUGAUAACACUACCGACCAACCACGAUGCAUCGGGUCGUCAACAAAAAAUAUUUGUUUGACUUGAGAAGCCAAAACAAAUUGGUCAUUCCUAUGUCCAAUUUUACUCAAAUCUACAAGGGUAAAUCCAAGUUCGUCGACUACAAGACCAGAACUAUCUAUCCAAUCACACCUAAAGACUGGGAUUGUAAACUUUUGGUAGUCAAGGUCCCAAAUUUCUUGAAUGACACCAUAGAAACCCAUAUUUGAGAGAAUUGGGUUUUUAUCCUUGACACUAGCAACUUGCAUGGUAUGUGCAAGUAAAUAAACUCCACUAUUUUGAGUUGUCCGCACAUCAUCUUGUGCCUUGAUAUUGAAUUUAAUACCUUUAAUAAGAUAGCUCCUAUAUAAUGGCACUGCCAUGUUUGGACUAGCUGCUAGCCACCUUAAAUUUUCUGAUACGCCAUGAUUGUCUUCCUCAAGUUCACUUUGAACCUGCAAAUUAAUCAUAUCUUAAUUCAAUCUAACAUAGAAAUAAGAAGAAAAUUAAAAGAGAAAUAUGUUAUUCAACAACAUAUACCUUGAAGCGUAGCCAUUGAAUGAAAGUGCUAUUGUGCUUAUCCUGCAGCCACUUUGUUCUCUUUCUAAAUUUUGGAUAAGCAGUUUUGAUGUGGAUCAUAUGUUGCCUACAUGACACGAAAAAUUCAAGCAUUACGGUCCCAAAUAUAUAAGAUAAACAUAAGAAAUAAUUUAAAAUGGAAACUUAAAGAAUAAAACUCAUACGUACUCGAUAUAAGGUAGGACUUCCUCUGUAUUCUCCAAGACAUAUAGAUGUGCUUGAUUCAACAGGUCCUGAUCAACUACGCUCAUUGUGCAACCUGAUAAUGGCUUUGAAACUCCCAUCUUUUGGCUUGAAAGCAUUCCAACUGUACUAACAUCAGAUAAAUGCUGAGUACAAAACUCUACCGCUUCUUCAGCUAUAUACCGCUCAGCAAUGCAACCUUCGGGACGAGUACGAUUCUGAACAUAUCCCUUCAGCACUUUCAUAUAUCUUUCAAACGGAUACAUCCACCUAAAAUAUACUGGCCCACAUAGACGAACUUCUCUGACAAGAUGUACUACUAGAUGAACCAUGAUAUCAAAGAAUGAAGGGGGAAAGUACUUCUCAAGCAAACACAGAGUAACUACUACAUCUUCUUCCAACUUAUCUAGCUUGGAAACAUCAACAGUCUUUGCACAUAUAGCAUUGAAGAAGAAGCACAAACGAGUUAUUGCAUACCUUGCAGGCUUCUCCAAAACAGAAUGAAUUGCCACAGGGAGCAAUUGUUGCAUUAAGGUAUGACAAUCAUGUGAUUUAAGGCCAAGAAGUCUUGAAUCUUGUAAAGAUACAAGAUUUUUAAUAUUUGAAGAAUAACCUUCAGGGACCUUCAUACCAUAGAAAGAAUUGCAAACCUCUCUCUUCUCUGCUCUUGACAAAUUCCAAGGCCCAGGAGGCAAACGAGUACGUCUUUCUCCAUACUCGGGUUGCAAAUCAGUUUUGACCCCCAUGUUCAAUAAAUCUAAUCGAGCAGCAAUCCCAUCUUUAUUUUUUCCAGGGAUCUCCAGCAAUGUACCAAUGAUACUAUCGCAAACAUUCUUCUCAAUGUGCAUAACAUCUAGGGCAUGCCUCACAGGAAGGUAUUUCCAAUACUCGAGAUCAAAGAAUAUUGAUUUCUUCUUCCAACAAACUCUGUCACCAUUUUCAACCAUAUGCAGCACUUCUUCUCCGGUUAAUGGCUCGGGAGGUAUGCCAUAUUCAGGUUUCCCAUUAAAAGCUGCACGUUGCCUCCUAUAUGGAUGAUUGAUUGGUAACCAUUUUCUAUGCCCAAUGUAACAAAUUUUGUGGCCAUUUUUCAACCUGUGACUAGGUGUAUCAUCGCUGCAUAUUGGACAAGCUUUAUAUCCUUUAACAACACAACCAGAUAAGUUUUCAUAUGCGGGGAAAUCAUUAAUUGUCCACAUUAAUGCAGCUCUGAGUGUAAAGUAUUCUCCAUUAUGUGCAUCAUACACUCCUCUAAUCCCAUCCCACAAAGAUUUUAAAUCAUCAAUCAAAGGCUCCAAGUAGACGUCUAUAUCAUUUCCGGGUUGUUUAGGACCGGAAAUCAAUAAGGUUAACAUCAUGAACUUUCGUUUCAUGCACAGCCAUGGAGGGAGAUUAUAUGUAACUAAGAUAACCGGCCAACAACUAUAUCUGCUACUUAGAGAACUGUGUGGAUUGAAUCCAUCAGAUGAAAGAGCCAAUCUCAAGUUUCUCGGCUCAUUACCAAACUCAGGCCAUUUAUCAUCAAGAAGUUUCCAAGACGGGGAAUCCGCCGGAUGAGACAUCUGACCGUCAAUUGAUUUUCUAGCAGCAUGCCAAGUCAAACUCUUAGCUGUCUCAUGUGAUUGAAACAUCCUUUUAAACCUUGGAAUUGGAGGAAAAUACCACACCACCUUCGCUGGCACACCCUCUUUCAAGAUUGAAUCUUUGCCUUCCUUCCACCUUGAGAUACCACAAGUAGGACAAUUAGUUGAAUCCUCAUACUCCUUCCUAUACAAGAUGCAAUCAUUGGGGCAUGCGUGCAUUUUCUCAUAACUCAGCCCCAAUGCACACAAAGUCUUUUUAGCCUCAUACAUAGAGGUUGGUAUUGUAUUUCCUUCUGGAAGCAAAUCGCCUUGAAGUAUCAAUAAUUUUGUAAAACAGACAUCACUCAUCCCAUGUUUUUCCUUCAAAUUAUACAACUUCACUAAUGCCGAUAACUUCGUGUACUUUCUACAACCAGGGUACACUGGUUGAUCUCCAUCCCCAAUCACAUUGGCAAACUCAUACGGAUCGGAACCAAAAUCACCAAAAUCAUUGUCAUCCAUAUCAAUUUCUUCAGACACAAAACUGUACCUACUAUGGCCAUCAUCUUCUUCAACAUUUCUACUAGCAUUAGUAGUUGCUUCCCAAGGUUCUCCGUGAAAUGUCCAAUUCUUAUAGCUUUGGUCAAUUCCAUUAAAGUAUACGUGAUCCCUUAUAAUUCCAACCCCAAACAACUUCAAAUUAACACAUUUAACACAUGGACAACGGAUAUGUGUUGUAGUUAGAAGAUUUUCUACAGCAAAGUUCAAAAAUGCUUCCACCCCCAAACUCAUAUGCCUUCGAUCUUCUAUCCGAGUGCAUCCAUGACUUAUCUAUCUCCGACACUAUAACCUAUUAUCUAUAAUAAAGUGAAAAUACAGGCAAUGACCAUCACUAUAGCAGAUUAUACAAAGAUCUAAUAGCAAGUAAUACACAAAAGAGACGACGGGUUUUAAACAAAAACAGACGUAUUUGGCAUAUAUAGACGACGGAUUUUCAACAGACGUCGUCUAAUAUAAGUAAUACAAACGACGGUUUAUGAAAAAACCGUCGUGUAUAAGUAAUACAACGACGGUUUUUUCAUAAACCGUCGUGUAAUGAUCGUCGUAUGCCUAAAAAGGCGUCGUGUCUCAGUUUAUUUUCAAGAACCCAAAACCCAUUAAGAACACAACAUAUAUAUGAAACCAAGCAAGAAACCAACAUAUACAUGAAACCAAGCAUGAAAACAAUAAAUCCAUUCCCAAUUCAACAUAACAUAGGGUGAUUAAAAGAUCCGACAAAAUUAAAUCCAUUCCCAAUUCAACAUAACAGAUAAUGUAAUCCAUGAACCCAUUAAAGAGAAAAUCCAUGAACCCAUACCUAUAAGCACAUUAUUAACAGAUCACAAAGCAUAUACCUAAAACCCUUUAACAAAACAACCUAAUAUCAUUCAAUGAAUUUACAAGGGGAAGAUAGGGUUUGUACUUACAGGUUGGACGAGCUCACAGAUUCGACGGAGCCUGGAGAGUGCAACUUUUAAUUAGAGCAGAAGUGAGAGAGCGAAAUGUUAUGUUGCGCGAAAUCUGAAAAUUUUAGGGUUCAGGGUUAGAAGUAUAAGAAUAAGAGCCAAAUCUAAAAAAUUUAGGUGGCGCGAAAUUUUUUAGAGAGCGCGCUCUUUAAAACGUCGAAAGAAAAACCAUGGCGAAAGUUCUACAAGAACCGACGUAAAUGUAAUAUUCCACGACGGAAACACUGAACGUAACGCCAUUUAUUUUGACGCUUCAUUUUUCGGAUUAAUUUUAAAUUUAUUUUGAAUAUUUUGAUAUAAAGACAACUGAAAAACCACGUCGGGGUUAAGAAAUUUAAGACGUUGUAAAUUAUAAUAGACGACUUACAUAUUAAAAUGACGUCGUUUAAAGUAUAAACCAUGUCGGAUAUUUUACUGCACGACGUAACAUAUGUAUUCCACGACUCAACUACCGUCGUUAAAAAUUAAUACCCUAAACCCUUAAAACUAAAUUACAUAAUUUAAAAAUUUAAGUUUAUAAAAGGGUUUAUGGUUUUACAGCCUAAUAUAUACCCUAUACUACCCAAAAAUUAUACUUUAAAAAUAAACCCCAAUAAAUAACAACCCUAAUCUCUAAACCCUAGACUCUAAACCCUAAACCAUAAAACUAGAAGUGAUUUUAUGACUCAUCAAAACAAUUUUGUUUUGGAUGGUCAUUUUAAAUUUUUGUUAUUCAAAAUGAAUUUUUUCAAGGUUUAGGGGGAAGAAAAUAUAUCAAAGACUUCAUAGGAGUUGACUUUGCAUUUUUCUGAUUUAUUUUAAAUUUAUUUUGAAUAUUUUGAUAUAAAAAUAAUAAAAUAUUCUUAUCACAACAACAAACCACGUCGGUGUUAAUAAAUUGUAGACGUUGUAAAUUGUAAUAGACGACUAAGUUGUUAAAAUGACGUCGUUUAAAUGAGAAACCAUGGCGGAUAUUUAACUAUCCGACGUAAAAUAUAUAUUCCACGACUUAACCGCUGUCGUUGCAAAGUACUACCCUGAACCCUUAAGAAAUUGAAGACGUUGUAAACCAUAAACGACUCAAUUGUUCAAAGAACGUCGUCUAAAUAUCCUUUUACGUCGGAUUUGUUUAAAACGAAACAACAAAAAACGACGGUUUUUGACUUUAUUAGGUCGUUGGAAAAGUAUUACACGUCGGUUACGCAAUUUGUAUGUUUGUUUUUUUUUUUAAUUUAAGAAAACCUCAACAAAUUUUUACAUUAUAUAUUAUAGACAAAAUUUGUACAUUAUACAUAAAUAUCAAGUGUUCAAUAAUUCCCCUAUUCCAGGUGAAGGCAAACAAACUCUGCCCAUUCAUUCCGGACUUCAUCAAUUGCUUCUUGGGGGUAUGGCGCUUCCUGUUUUCCCUUGGCAUACUGCAUAAACAAUGACUAUUAGGGUUUAUAAAUAAAAAGAAAUUCAAUCACAGACGACGAUAUUUUUCAUAACCGACGUAGUAUAUCUAUUCAACGACGGUAAUUUUACAUGACCGUCGUUGAUAAUACAAAAAAUGACGUAAAAUGUAUGAAGGUAAUUUCUUCUUACCUUCUUCUCAAACACCAAGGAAGGAUCCAUGAUGAUGUCCCUCAUGAAGCGCAUCACAUAAUACCCGCAUUCGACACUGCUGGGUUGCUUUGGUGUGCCUGACAGAGUUUUUCAAAUUACUGCUUUACGGCCUGAUCUGGCUAUGUGAGAAUUAUAUAUUUUUAUAGCACUGUUCACGAUGUUUUUGGCCUCUUCAUCGACCACACGAUUUCCGGGCAGAGGAUCCAGAAAAUAGACGAUUUCCCUCUUUGCUCUCACAAUCAGCAAGAUCCAAUGACGGCUGCACAAAAUUAAUAUAAAAACGACGGUUAUUUACAAAAACGACGUAUUAUAAUAUUUCACACGACGAAAUAAAGUAGCAAUCGACGGCAUUAUAUAUUUAUCAUGACGAUAAAUAACUACCGACGUGGUUAGUAGUUUCAAACGACUCAAUAAAAUAAAACACCGACGUGGUUAGUUUAUACGCUGUCAUUUAUUGAAAAUCAUAAAAACAAAAUCCUGUUAAGGAGACUAACCCUGGAUUGUAAGGCAUCAUGAAAAUCUGUUCACCAUCAGUCCUCUGAAGUCGAGCUGCUACCGGUCGUGAUCUGUCAGCUAUUGUCCCAGAGUUGGCACUAACUGUAGCAGGGUUGAUAAAGCCAACCAUGCUGCACAUAUUUGCUUGUUUCAAAAGAUCGUGUAAGUACCUAAAUAUAUAAAAUAAUAUAAACAAGUCAGCACAAAAAAAACACACGACGGUUAUGUAUAACAAAACGACGUAUUAUAAAAUUUCACACGACGUACUGAAAUAGACAACAACGUUAUAAUAUAUUUAUCACGACGGUACAUACUAACGACGUGGUUAGUUAGUUAAGACGACGCAAUAAAUAAACCAACGACGUAUUAUUUUAGAAUGACAAACCUCAUAUAUACAGCAAUGACAGUGGCUCCUAUUUCUUCCAUGCCUGCAAAUUGUGUAAUAUCUUCAGGCAGGAGGAAGGUAUCGCGUUCUAGACCAAACACCUUCUUAUCAAUUGUAAAGUUCAGGGUCUUAUCCUGAGGCACGAGUGUCGUUUUCACAUAACGACAAAGGGAUUUGAAAGAAGAUGGCGCCUCCAUAUUUGAAUAAUCAACAACUUUAAUAACCUGUUCAAAGAAAUAAAAAAAAUGACGUGGUAAUUCAAUAAAAACGACGGUUUAAGGAAUAAAACGUCGUCUGAAAAGAAUUUAAACGACGGUGAAAAAACCGUCGUGGUGAAUAAUUUAUUACGUCUUAGAAAAAAAUUCGCCGUCUAAGUUGUAAACAAACGACGGUUUAAAGAAAAAUAUCGAUGUCUGAAAUUUUGAAAAACAAAUAAAAAAGGCAAAGUUAUGUGAACAUACCUGGUCGUCAUGCUUUUCUUCAUCUUCUUUCUCCUUUUCAUCUUGUUUUUCUUCUUUCUUCUCUUCAUCUUUUUUUUCUUCUUCCUUCUCUUCAUCUUUUUUUUCUUCAUUCUUCUCUUCAUCUUGAUUUCCUUCAUUUUUCGGUUUUUAGUAAUAAAGAAUGUAGAGAAAUUAAAAAAAUUAAAUUCAAACGUCGUGGUAAGACAAAACACAAGAUAGUAUGGACGUCUUAAAUUAUUAAACGAUGGUAAAUAGUAAACGUCGUGGGAUUUAUAUAUUACGUCGGGAAUGACUAACACCGUCGUCUAAAAACCACAAAGUUUUAAAAAUAACGACGUUUAAUGGCGUGUAAAACAAGUAAACUAAAUACGACGUGGUAUUGAAAUACAAACGACGGUUUAUUUUUAAAAUCGUCGUGGUAUGUAUUUCAAACGACGGUUUUAUUAAUAAUAACGACGUCUAAUAGUUUUUUAAAAAACAGAGAAUUCAAAGUUCAAAUAUGUUACCUUUUCUUCCUGAUGUUUCCCAUUUUUGGCAGUAUCAUCCUCAAAAUGUAGGGAUCUCACAUCACCUCCAGAGCAGCUUGCUUUGUCAGACAUUGGAUUUCUGAGACUUUGGCUAAUUCUUGGUUUAAGCAUGCUUGGAUCAAAAUUGGGAAUUAAUUGGGAAAGCUGACUCAGGAAAUGCUCCCUCUCAGCCUCUACCAAUUGUUUGGUUCUAGCCUCCAUCCUUAAAGCCUCUUCCCUUGCCUUAGCUUCCAUCUUUUUAUUCUCUUCUUGAAGGAGAACUCUUAAACUGUCCUUUAAACGGUCGUCAAAGCUCAUCCUCUGUGGUUUGGGUAAAUUGAAAUAUUGCCUUGGGGAAAUCCCAGCACCUACACCUCUCACUCUGCCUGGAUGCUCGGGGUCCAAAGCCAUGGUCAGCACAUCAUUGCUGCCAGAUACACUGACUUUGCCUUCCGAGACUUGUUUUUGCAAUUCAUCCUAAAACAAAGAUAUAUAAAAAAGUAAGAACAAAAAACACACGACGGUUAUUUAUAUACAAACGACGUAUUAUAUAAUUUCACACGACGCAAUAACAUAUAAAUCGACGUUAUUAUAAUUUAUCACAACGGUAGUUAUACCGACGUGGUUAGUUUUUUAAAACGACGAAAUGAAUAAACCACCGACGUCUUAUGCUUUAUUUACAGAUAACAGAGGGAUGAUUCAAUAUUCACACCUUUAACGACCUUGUUUAACACAUUUCGACGUAGUAAUUUAAUACAAACGACGCGAAAAUGAACCACCGACAUCUUAUGCUAUAAUUACAGAAAACAGAGUAGUGAUUCCUGAUUUAGACCUUUAACGACGUUUUUAAAAAAAUGUCGACGUGGUAAUAUCAUUCACACGACGCAAAAUAUAACAUAAGACGUGAUAAGAAUUAUUCACAGUUUAAUAAAAAUUUAAAACAGAGUGAGUAGGCUUACAAUUAAUUUUGCUUUCUCUGCCACCUUUGGAUCUGGGAUGUUACCAUGUUUGUCCUGUCUAGCUCUUUUCCAUAAGGUAGAUCGAUCAAUUUCUACCCCAGGCAUGGUUUCCUCCAAUUGAUCCUCCAAACCAGCAUAUCCUUUUCGAGACAAUCGAUGAUUGUACUCAAGUUUCUCCCUAAUCUGUGCAUGUUGAGAAUGCACAGACUCAAAAUCUUUGGAUAACUUUGAAGCUACAAAGGCAUCCCAUUGUGCUUUCUCUAUGAAUUUAUAUGUCUCAGGGGGUUGGCUUAAUCUCUCCCUGUCAUUGAUGUAUGGAAGGAUAUAAUGCCUCGUUAGUGUAGACUUGAAAUCCUUCCAUUUCUUGGCAGCAGAAGCUAACACAGAGUUCUUGCCCCCUUGACCUACCACAAAAGCAAUGUCAACUGCUUCCCAAAUCUGCUCCUUUAUAUCCUUGGGAAUUUGAGCCCAUUUCAUGUCCACAAGUGGAACUCUGGAGCGUGCCAACACACCAAUGUAGGACUGCAUCUCACUAUGUGCUUGGCCAAUUCCUUUCCCCCUUUUAUUGUACUCAACAAUUGGCCUGAGUUUAUGAAGUUUUCUCUUCACAACACGAGGCAUUGUGUUCAUACCUCGACCAGACUUUGAAUCAUCAGAGAUUGUUGUCGUGCUGGUUGGUUCUGUCUCAGCAGAUGAUGAAGAAAACUUCAUCUUCUUCAAAGACUUCUCUUCAGAAGUUACCAUUCCAAGCUCCUUACCUCCAUUUUUCUUGGAGCCAGAGUCCUUACUUUGGUCUUGAGAAACCAUUUUUACAGACAAAACUGCAAGUGAAAAUAUUUCAGGAAAAGAUUAAGAACACAAACGACGGUUAUUAAUAAAAUAUGACGUAUGAUAUGAUUUUAAACGACGCAAUGAAAUAAUCUCAGACGUAAUAAAUGUUUAAAACCAAGGUAAUUAAACAACGACGAAAUAAUAUAAAAUAAGACGUAAUAAUAACUUAUUACGUCGAUAUUUACCGGACGACGUGAUAAUUAACUAUAAACGACGAAAUAUUUAUAUAACGUCGUGGUAUUGAUGUUCACACGACGUCAAUAGUAAUAUACCGUCGUCUAUAUAAGGAUCCAAAAUCCUUCUUUCUUUCUCUGUGAAUGUUUGAUUGUAGAUUUGAUUUUUCUGAACCAUGGUUUUUGUUUUCUAAUUUGAUAAAAUACAAGGCCAAGAAAGAAAGUUUUGGAAUCUUAUAUAGACGACGGUAUUUUAAUAUGACGUCGUUAUAUUAACAUUCACACGACGUAAAAUAAUAAGAUACUGUCGUCUAUAUUAGAUACCAACCCUACUUUCUUUUUCUUUAUAUUUUAUCAAAUUAGGGAAAAACAAAAACCAUUGUUCAGAGAAAUCAAACCUGCAAUUAAACAAGCAAAUAAAAAAAAGACUAUAAUUUUAAAAACAACUUUGUCAAUUUUCAGACGACGCUAGAACGACUGACGAACCGUCGUGGUCUACAUAUUUAACCACGUAAAUAAGAAGCUACCGUCGUCUUAUUUAGUUGAGGUAGUUGUCUUCAAAGUUGGAAACUUUCCCUCUUUGUCUGUAUAUUUUAUCAAACUUGGAAAGAAGUAAAAUGAUUUUGGCCAGAAAAAAGGUAAAAAGAUUUUUCAAACAAAAAACGUAUGAGCAUGCAAAAUAGCAACCAAAAUAGUGAAAAUGAAAUCUUACCUUUUGCGUGCAAUGAAAGCAAGAGGAAGACGAUGUUUAAGUUCAGAGACGACGAAGAAGACGAGAGGAAGACGAUAAGAUACUCUGACAGUGCUCUGACAAGGAAAAAAGUCAAAAAGUUUUCUCUGGGAGAUUGAAAUUUUUAAUCGGGUUUGGAAACAGUGCAUGUGUAAGUCAGGUAGACGAAAAGUUGCUUACAUAUAAAACCAUUUCAAAAAAAUAAUACGGCGGUUACAUAUAACUACGACGUAUAAAUUACAAAAUACGACGGUACAUUUAACUUCGGACGUGGUAAAUAAAUACGACAGUAGUGUUGUAGGUACCGUCGUAAUAAACUCAAAAAUUAAAGUACAUAAGUAAUAACUCGCGUCAUGGUAGAUUAUUUAACACGUCGUUUUUAUUAAUUUACCGACGUUGAUUUUACAAUUUAAACGGCGGUUUUUUUGUAAGGACCGCCGUUGGUUUUAAAAAUUUAUUCUAUAAAUUUGUCGCUUUCAUUCAUUUUCGGUUUACAUUUAGGGUUCCAAGUUCUUCCUCUCUCAGAGACACUGUCUCUCACAUCUCAAAGACAAUAAUUUGGAUGUCUUUCUCAAAGAGAAAUUGAGCUUACUCGCAUCAAAUCUAUGUCCACAAGAAGAAGCUUGUCAACUAGCCUUCUCACUUCCUUGAUCAAGCCUGAUAGGACACUUAGUGCUUCUGAAUACUCCUUGCUUUCCAUCAAAAGAGAUGCAAGCCUGGGCUCCACUCGCUGUCGAAGGAAAGUUCGCUUCUCAGGGAAAUCUGAAGAUCAGAUGUGCCUGAUCCUCUGCUUGAUUUUCUUGGCUAAGAAGAUCCGUCAUAUUUGUGAUAGCCUCUUCCUUUAUCCGUAGAGCUUCAGACGAAGAAGAUGGGUUUCAAGAAUGCGAUAAAGAAUAGAAAUGGCUUCAGAUGGCCUCUAAAGACAUUGUCAAUGCUUUGAACUAUACAAGUCCUGUAGAAAGAUAAAGGACCAAACUGUUAAAGAAACUGAAACAACGGCGGUUUUCUGUUCUACCGUCGUCUUUUUUCGUCGUCUAUAUUAAGGUAAGAUGGCGGUAGAUUUAUAAUUACCGACGUAGAUUAUUUUGUUAAACGUCGUUAAGUGUAAUACAACCGACGUGGAUUUUAUUUUUAAAUUAUAAAUAGAGUUUUUUUUCCCGAAUUCUUUCAGUUUUAGUUUUCAAUUACAAAGCGUGAUAAAUAGAUUUUUCUUUCCCGAGGAAAUUUAAAAUGAGGGAAAUUAAUGUUCUAGAAUUUGUAAACUAACACGACGCAAUAUUACUAACCAGAGGAAAUUAUAAACAGAUUUUGCUUUCCCGAAGAAAUUUUAAAUUAAUUCAGUUUGAAACAAGGACGGUUUUUUGUUAUGCCGUCGUUUUUAACUAACACGACGCAAUAUUUGUUUUGCGACAUGGAAUCUUUUCAUUUAACGUCGUUAGGUUUAAUAUAAUCGACGUGGAUUUGAAUUUUUAAAUUAUGAAUAGAAUUUUUUUUCCCGUGACCUUUCAGUUUAUUUUUCAAUUACAGUGCGUUAUAAAUAGAGUUUUUUUUCCGGAGGAAAUUUAAAAUGAAGGAAAUUAAUGUUCUAGAAUAUGUAAAGUUUCUUUUUUGGAUGACAGAUUUAAAUAAAAUAAGAAUAUAAAAACAACGACUGUUUUUGUAUUACUGUCGUCGUUUUUCGUCGUCUUAAGUAAGACUAAGACGACGUAAUAUAUUUGUUGAGCGACGUUGAUUUGUUUUUUAAACGUCGUUAGGUAUAAUAUAACCGUCGUUGAAAAUUGUCUCUCUGAUUGCAAAUUUGCAACGACGUUAGGUAUAAUAUUUGUAGAUACACAAACGCACACACAUCAUCAACUUCCAAAAAAUUGUCUCUCUGAUUGCAAAUCUGUGUUAUCUGUUAAGAUUAUGAUGUGGAACAGAGUUCCAUCUGGUAAGAUUUCUUAACCCUUGGGAUCUUAGAAAAAUCUGAUUAUGUCGGCGGUUUUCUAUAUAAACCGUCGUGGUUAUUUCAAUUCUUGUCAUUAAGUAGAUCUACCGACGUAGGAUAAGAAAAUCAAAGAAAAAAAUUGUUAACAAAAAUUCUUAUUAAGACGACGGUUUAAAUUAAAGGUACGACGUAUAAAAUGAAUAAAUACGACGUUAAAUUUUAUAGUACGAUUUAAAGAUAACGUCGUAGAACUAUACGAGAAUGACGUCGAUAUAUUUAUAUUUUCCGUCGUUGUACAUUAAUUUAAUACGGCGAUAUUUUGUAUUUUAAAGCCGUGGAUUUGUUUGUAAUUAUACGGCGUCUUAUACGAAAACCUCGUCGUGUUAUUUUAUGAGUAAAAACGGCGGCUUUUAUUGAAAUCGUCGUCUUUACUUUCUACGUCGGUCGAUUCAUAACUUCUGCCGUUCUUUGUUGGCUUUGAUUUUACACUGCGGAAAUCUGUUUCAAAUAGACGUCGGUUGUUUAAUUCGGUACAUCGUUGUUUUUGAACAGCCAUUUGAAUCUCCAUUUUUUAGUUGUCUAAGGUGGUAUUACACGACGGUGUUUUUAGAACCGUCGUCUUUUUAAAAACCACGACGGUUUUCACUUAGACCGUCGUUGUUUUCUGGUCGUCUUUUUCACUUUUUGUAGUAGUGAUUGCUAAAUGGAACAAGGAAAUUACAUAAUAUUACAAAUGAAACUAAGCUCUAGUGAUCUCCAUGUGCCCAAAAAUCAAACCCGAUCCAAUGCAUCUUCGUGGUUUAAUGAAUAUGGCACUUUGCUUGAAAAAGGACUUGCACACUCAAAUAUCUUUUAUAUGCAAAGAGCUUCCAUUGAGGAAUUACUUAAAUAAGUUAUUUGGAGGACACCCUUGUAGGGCCCACUUCACAUUAUAUUUCACUAAUGAAUAAUAAGGCCAUGGAGUGGAAAACAAUUUGAAUCUUUAUUCUGAUUGCUUGAUAUAACGUUUAAUUGGGUUUAAUUGUGAAAAAUACUGUAUACCCACUAAAAUAUCAUUUACCUGUUUGUUUGUUCUGGGCAUUAAAUUCUGUUGGGUAUCUUUGUUUUUAACGUAGACUUUCCCUUCAAUUUAUUUGAUUCCUACAAGGAAAACUUUUGCAGAAGAAGCUACUGGUCCACAUGGUUCUUCAUCCACAAACUUAGACAAUUUAGUGAAGCAAGUGCUAUUGAGAAAAAGUGAAGAUGUUUCCAUAAGAAUAUUGAUGUUAUUAAUUAUCAUUUCCAUUGCCAUUGUCUCAAAUAAUCAACUAUCUGGCAAUAUAUAUGUACUACUGGUCUGUAACCAUGAUGCAUACUAUAUCUAGAAUUUUUUUCUGAUUAAGGUUUCACUACGCUUCAGGCCUUUAACUCUAAAAUCUUAUUGGAGAAUCGGCUAAUAUUUAAUUAUUUUUUUAUACGUAUUUCCUUUUUAUUAUGUUCUAUACAUAUUUAAUUGGAUUACUACUCUCAAGGAAGAUUAUCCUUAAGUAUUAUAUUCAACAAAUUACUAUUCAUGUGUCAGUUGGUUUACAUUUAUUGUAUUAAAUCAAUACUCACCAAUUCUUUAAAGUGUGAGAUAAUUAGUCACAAAUAAUGGUGACUAGUAACCAAAGUCAUUGACCACCCAUUCAAAUGUCACCAAAACUAUUUUGUUGCUAUACAAAUAUGACUAAUGCUUUCUAUUUUGUCGCCGGAUCAAGGCCGUGAAGUUCCGGGUUAAACCGUGAGUUUCCGACGCCGAUUCCAACCACUUGCCGUCCGAAUUGGACUUGGGUGUAGUUGAAUAAAAUGUUCCACUCGUCGAGUAGAACCUGUAGCCGGGAGGGUGGCUUGUAGUUUGGAGAUUUUCCGGUGAAGCUUUAUCGCUUUGGACACCUGCGCUUGUGGCGGCACGUGGGCACUGUAGCAGAGGGGAAUUAUUGUCCCAAUGCAAUCUCCUGGUUGUCACGAGUACGUAGGAAUUCGCGGAUCUCAAUUCGGAUGUCGUUUGACUAUCGAACGGAUUUUCGCAUAGUGUGCGUUAUCCGGGUUCGAUAGGUUAUGACCGUUGGAUCAUUUCCCAAUUAAAUUAUGUUGUUCUAGGUAUUCCUAGGAUCGUGUAGGACUUCGCAGAUCGUGAAUCGGAGCCCGGAUGUUCCAAUUCAAUAACUUAAAGUUUGAGUUUUAUAUUAACCGUCCGAUCGUGCGAUCGUAAGCGAUCUAACCGUCUGUUUUGGACCAAACUUGCGACACGGGUAUCUUAGACCUUGUGGAACCUUUAGGAACUUACGGAUUGUAAAACGGAGGUCGUGGGUCCCGUGGACCCGGUUGACCUGAAUUGGGAAGUUUGACCGCCGGUUGACCGAGUGUCUCCCGAAGUUGUUCUAUCGUCCAAAUUGAGUAGUUGGACCUUAGAAUGUCUCAUUCCUAGUACACUUACUAGAAACUUGGGAAAUUAGGAUAUUUAAUUCAAAGUACUCGUUCGAAACGCUUCGUAUUAAUCUUGUGUACGUAUUCUGAAUUAGGUACUUCGAUCACGCAUACGCAGCAGGCGGGACCCUCUCAGGGUCAAGCAGCGUGGGACUACUUGUGAGUGAACUUUGUUUUCAAAUCUUAUACAUGUUUUUAUUGAUGAAAGAUUUAUGCAUAAUGUUUUUAAUGAUUUAUUGAAUAUAUUAUAUUCAUGGGUUGAAUUUGAUGUUUGUAUAGCGCUUUGUCAAUAUAUUGUGGGUUUGGCAUUGUUGGGUAUUGAAAGCAUAUUUUAUAUGGAUUUUGGGAAAUAUUAUGCAUGAUGUUUUAAACGGUAUUUUGGAUAUAUUAUUUAUGAAAUUGUUGAAAGUGAUAUUUUUAUGAGGCAUUGAAAAUAUAUUUUGGGUUUUGACAUAUUUGAGUAUCUUGAGUAUGAAUAUAUGGAUUUUGAGGAUUUCUAUAUAUAUUUGGCUAUGUGUGAGGUACUUGGGUUGUUGAGAUGAGAUUGUGGAAAGUGGUGAGUAUAGAAUGUCAGUUUGGUGUGAAGCACUACCCUAUGUACCUCCCCUGAUUUGGAACUUGGAUAUAGAGACUUGAGAUACUUGGAAUUGUCGGAACCCGGGGCAUCCUUGACGGGAUGUUGCUGUACACCCUUAAUUGGGUAGUCUGCGCGUGUAGGACUGAUCACAGACGUAUGAGUUUUGAGGUUAUCGACGGUACGUGCUGGCUGAGAGUUGGUCCCCCAGUUGGACGGCUCGUUCCCUAGUCACAUAGUGGAUUGAGGACUUUUCAUGAGGACUCUGCCAAGGUGACUAGUCAAAAAAUCCCCCGGUUCGAUUGUUUCCCCGGUACAACUAGGUGAUGGUCAUAUUUAUAAUAUAUAUAUCUCUUAUAUGAUAUAUUUAUAUAUAUAUAUAUAUAUCUAUUGAUUCAUUCUUGUUUAUCGGUGUGGAUACUUCCUUGCCGGUCUUACCAAUGGGUACGCUUUCGAGAGUUUAGUUGUGAGAUUUAUAAGUUUUGGAUGGUGGGUUUUGUAAAGCGUUCUUUAUGGAUUUUGAACUUCGUAUCUGGUAUUGAUUUGUUUUGAUAUAUAUAUAUUAUAUAUAUAUAUACUUGAGUAUGAUGGUUUUGAGAUGCAUGGGAUUUCUUGCAUGGUUUUCUAAACGGUGGGGUUAUAUUACGUUGGUUUACAUUGAACUGAAGUUAUUUUUGUCCACUCACAAUUUUCUGUUUUGCGCCCCCCAGCCAGUAGUUGACUGAGCUCCGCAGCAGAGCCGGAUCAUGAGCUUCCGAACCUUGAGUCUUCGUAGGACUCUUUCUUCAUGUUUUUCCCUUUGAACUCUGUUUUGUUGAAAUUGAAGUUCUUAGCCAUGCUCUGUUAUCGCCCCUGUUAGGGUUUGAUUUGUGAGGCCGGAGGCCAUUUUGUUGUAAACUGUUUAUUCGCUUUAAAGCAUGCUGCUGGUUGGGAUUAUUCUAUGUUUAUGCAGGUUGAAUUUUUGUUGGGUUUGUUCAAUUCACAGGGGAGACUUUGCCAAAAUUUUGGUAGAGAGUAUGGGUUUUUAGUAAGUGGGCCCGGCAUCGGGAUGAUGUCGGAACAAAGACGGGAUUCGCCCUGGUUUCCGGGAAUUACGUAUAUAAUACAACUUCAAUAUUUAUAUGUAUAUUAUUUCAUUAAAUAUUUAUAUAUACAUAUAUAUGUUCUUUUGAAUAAAAGGGGUUAAAUUAUAUAUUUGUUCAUUAUUUCUUGAGAUGCCAUUAGAUGGUUAUUGGAUGCUUUCUAUACAUAUAUAUUAAUAACAUGGAUUAAGAGUUUAGACGUGGCAUCCUUACAUUGUUUUCUUGGAGAGAAAGACUAUUUCUCUCUUAUCUUAAUUAGGAUGCCGGAUGUGGCUUUUUCCAUUAAAUUAGUUGAUGCAUUACCAUGCAUUUGCACAGCUCAUGCUUACAAUUUGGUGAGUAAGCUUUAUCUUAGCUUCAAUAGGUGUCACAGCCUUUGGAAAUAAAUCUCCUAGCGUUGACACAUAGCAACUUAUAAAAUAGAGUGGCAACCAAGUUAUCUUUUCGUAUAAAUAAGAUAAUGUCCUUUGUUAUUAUCCUCUCCAUUGUUACGCCAUCUCACCACCAAUAAAUAGAAGUUUUAAUGGAAGGAAGAGAUAUCAGGCAAAGGGUAAAGAGAGAGGGAGAGAGAGAUGAUGAUGAUGAAAUUCUUAGAAGAGAUAUAGGAUUUAGCUUGUAUUUUCUUAACUUGGAGAGAGAGAGAUGAUGAUGAAAUUCUUAGAAGAGAUAUAGGACUUAGCUUGUAUUUUCUUAACUUGGAGAAAUGCUUUAGAAUCGAGGUAGGAGUUUCUUGGUGACCUUUUAUAAAGAUUGAUCAAAUUAAAUUUCGUGAGCAUUAUAUCAUGCAUGAUAUUAUUAUUCGAUUAUUAUUGAUAUUGGGUGUUUAAGUGUUGUUAAUUAUCAUAUUAUUUUAUUAAUAUUGACAUGAUCAUAUGUUAUCGGUGAUGGCUGGAAUUCUUGGGUUGAUAAAGAAAGUAUGGAAAAGGGGAUAAUGGGAAGGAUCUUUUGUGUAGUUGAGUCUAACUCUUGGUAAGUACCAGGUCUCAGGGAUCCCGCAGCGCACAUGGUUUUUAUUGGGCGAUUCAGGACUGGCGACAGGGAGUUAGACAAGAUGACUAACGAAAGGGAAAUUAUGGGAUGAUUGAAAUGGGUGUUAGUUCAUACAAAUGGGCAUUCGGGACCAAGUGGUAUAAGCAUGGUAUGGGACGUGCAAAUCUGCUUGUCCAGUUAUAUGAAUUAACAGGAGUAGAUGAAGAGCAUUCAUUCAUGCAUUAUUAUUAAUAAUGUGAUAUUUGGCUGUGUGAUUGCAUGUCACUUAAUUUAGAUAUAUCAAUCUACUGCGGUAAGGUCUCAUGUCCCUACUGAGCGGUGAUUGUUCAUUCCUCACCCUGUUUAAUUUUUCAGAUGAAUUAGUAGGCAAGACAAAGACUAAACCAAUUGAGGCUAAAUUAGAUGAGAGUGAUAGAGCUUUAUUUUUUUAAUUUUAAAGUUGUAAGAUUUUGGGAGCUAUUUUUAUAAGAAAAGUUUAUUUUAUGUUUCAACUUCCUGUUAUUCUAUUUUACUUUUUAUUUUCUCAUGCACUAGGCACGAGGUUUCCACUAACCCCCAGGUCCGAGGCGUGACAGAAUGGUAUAAGAGCUUUAGGGAUUAAAUACCCUUGGGAACUGUGGUAUAGUAUUACCACAAAGUAAAUUUGAAUUGGUGAAGUAAGUUAGUGACCUAACUUUUCAGGAGCAUAUUUCUUUUUAUGAUUAAGUGUAGUUUACGUAAUAAUUGUUUAGUAUUGUUUUAUAUAUGUUGGUUUAAUUUGGUAGAAAUAUUUGGUAAAGGUUCAAUUGUUAAGAUAGCUAGAGUAGAUGGGAAACGUGACAAUGAUAAGAAUGGUAGCAUGAGGGUAAUACUAACCAUUCAGGAUAUGGCCUUUGCAAUACGUGAAACGAAUCAACAAAACCAAGAACCCCAUCAAGAGAUUCAAGGUGGUCAAACAAUGAGUGUUAAAGGAGAAAGAUAAAUGAACAAAGAGUUCUAGGAAAUCUGAAAGUGGCUAUUGCUUCUACCUAUUUGGGAGGAGCAAGGAGACCAGAAUAACUCACUCAAGGACAUGUGUAUGCUAUUGGACAAGUGACAAAGCAAAAUGAACCUACUAUGGUAGAAGGUACAUUUCUAGUUUACAACUCAUGGGCUAAGAUAUUGUUUGACCGGUGCUACAAAUUCAUUCAUCUCUAUUUCGUUUGCGUUUAUUCUUGGAUUAGAAUAUGAAUUUAUGAAAUCUUCAUUAAUGGUUGGAUCUCCAUUGGGUAAAUGUGUCGAAGUUAAUAAGGUGUGUAGAUCUUACAUAAUAGAGAUAUCAUAUCAUAAAAUUGUUGUUGACCUUAUGAUAUUGGAAUUAAUGGAGUAUGAUGUAAUAUUAGGGAUGGACUUGACCCAAUUUAAAGCUAUUUUUGAUUGUGGUAGAAAGAUGGUGACUAUGACUCUUAGCGAGGGAAAACAUGUAGUUUCUAUGGAAGUAGGAAUACUCACAUCAAUCUUGGAUAAUGGAAAUUGUAAUUAUUUGAGAUUGAUUGCUCACAUGGUCACUGAGGAUCUAAGUAAUACCAAGCUUGAGCUUAUCCCAAUAGUGAAAGAUUUCGGUGAUGUUUUCCCAGAAGAAUUAUAUGGAAUCCCCCUAGAAAUGGAGUUUUUCUAUAGAUAUUUAUCCUGGCAUGUCACCUAUAUCUAUACCUCCACAUUGAAUGGCACCAAUAGAGUUGAAGGAACUCAAAACACAACUUCAAGAACUUGAAAGUAAAGGUUUUAUUCGUCCUAGUACCUUACCAUGGGGGUUUUUUCUCCAUUCUUUGUGAAGAAAAGUGAUGGAAGUUGUAACACCCCGACCUCAAAUUUAACCUUUAUUUAAUUAUUUAAUUAUUUAAGGGCAUUUUGGUCAUAUUUUUAACCGGAGAGAGUUUGGGGCAGUGACUAUGUCACAUCCCGGGAUCAACUCCGUCGUAGCACGAUAUUGUCUGCUUUGGGCCCCCCCUCUCUGGCCCUCACGGUUUUGUUUCUGGGAGCUCACGAGCAACUUCCCAGUGGGUCACCCAUCCUGGGAUUGCUCUGGCCCCCAACUCGCUUAACUUCGAAGUUCCUACGACUUCGAAGCCAGUGAGCUCCCAAAAGGCCUCGUGAUAGAUGGAUGCGGGUGUGCACAUAUAAGGCACAUCGCCCCCUCUCCGUUGGUUGAUGUGGGAUCUUACAAUCCACCCCCCUCAAGGGCCCGACGUCCUCGUCGGCACACUCACACCACACGGCAGAGUGGCUCUGAUACCAAAUUGUCACAUCCCGGGAUCAACUCCGUCGUAGCACGAUAUUGUCCGCUUUGGGCCCCCCCUCUCUGGCCCUCACGGUUUUGUUUCUAGGAGCUCACGAGCAACUUCCCAUUGGAUCACCCAUCCUGGGAUUGCUCUGGCCCCCAACUUGCUUAACUUCGAAGUUCCUACGACUCCGAAGCCAGUGAGCUCCCAAAAGCCCUCGUGCUAGAUGGAUGCGGGUGUGCACAUAUAAGGCACAUCGCCCCCUCUCCGUUGGUUGAUGUGGGAUCUUACAGACUAGUAUUUUUAGAUAGGUCGUACUGAGACGAGUUCAUAGACAUGUAGUGGGCUCGAAUCGGAGUUCUAACGAGAGAGAUAUGGUCAAAAGAAGCCCAGUGGCACAAUCGUAAAUAUUUCAAAAUGGGAUUUUUUUUAUAAAAACUCAGAUUUUUUUUUCUCUCUCUCUCUCUCUCUCUCUCUCUCUCCCGCGGGUGUCUCUCUCCUCUCUCUCGCGCGCGACGGCAGCUGGCCACGUUUUGGCCGGCCGUGCUCUCCUCCGGCCACCAAUGACGACGGGACCGGUACCAAAAUGACCGGGCCGUCGUCCUCUCGAGCUGCUCUAGCUGAUGGUUGGGUAGGAUUAGAUCGAUUCUUAGCGUAGACAAUUCGAUUUUCGAAUUGAAAUUCGGCCGGUUUUGGGAUCGCGAUUCCGGCCACUUCCGGUCAGUUUUUGGGGUAGGUCCAAGAACAAAAGUGGCUCCAAAUAGGGUGUUAUACCUAGGGUAGGAGUUUUGAGCUGUGGUUUUGAGAUUUUCCGGCGAAGCCGUUAUCGCUUUGGGCACCCACGCGCUGCCGGCGCGUGCGGCGGCGUGUGGGCACUGUAGAAAAAGUAGCAAUGUGUUCCGAUGAGAUCCUUAGGUUGUCACGAGUGCGUAGGAUUUCACGGAUCUCAAUUCGGACGUCGUUUGACUAUCGAACGGAUAUUCGCAUAUUGCGCGUUAUCCAGGUGCGAUAGGUUGGGGCCGUUGGAUGGACCCAAAUUUAAUAUAUGUUGAUCUAGGUAUUUCUAGGAUCGUGUAGGAAUUCACGGAUUGUGAAUCGGAGCCCCGGAUGUUCCGAAAAAUAAUUUUAAAGUUUAUAUUUUAUAUUAACCGUCAGAUCGUGCGAUCGUGAGCGAUCCGACCGUCCGAUCUGAACCAAACUUGCAGGACAAGAUUCCUAUACCUGGUAGAACCCAUAGGGACUCUCGGAUCGAAAAUUGGAGGUCGUGGGUUCCGCAGGUCCUUUUGACCAGGGUUAGAGUAGUUUGACCCUUGGUUGACCGUGAGUCUCCCGGAGUAAUCUCACCUUUCUAGGGGAGAUUAUCGGGUACUAGAUUAUUGUGGAGGGUUACACAAUAUUAGAAUUAAUUUAUAUAUUUAUAAUUAUAAUAUGUUUGUACAAGAGUACAAAAGAGUCUAGACUGUCAGUUUGGAGUGCUAUACCCACUACUUUAGGUACCUUCCCAAAUUUUGGAUUCACUACAAGCACCACCAAGUGAAAGUUAGGUCUCACAUGGCGUAGGUUAUCCGGCGUUAAGACAGGCCCCAUACGUGGCGUUGGUUGUACCGGCGUAUGGGGAGAUAUUGUGAUAUUGUGUUGAGAUCGCACGUGGCGUAGGUUAUCCGGCGUGUCGACAGACCCCAUACGUGGCGUUGGUUGUACCGGCGUAUGGGGAGAUUUUUGAUAUGAUAUUGAGGUCCCGCGUGGCGUAGGUUAACCGGCGUUGGGACAUGCCCCAUACGUGGCGUUGGUUGUACCGGCGUAUGGGGAGAGAUGUGAUAUGAUGUGCAGGUUUCGCGUGGCGUAGGUUAUCCGGCGUUGUGACAGAUCCCAUACGUGGCGUUGGUUGUACCGGCGUAUGGGGAGAUAUUAUGAUAGUAUGGCAUGGUCGCACGUGGCGUAGGUUAUCCGGCGUGUUGACAGGCCCCAUACGUGGCGUUGGUUGUACCGGCGUAUGGGGAGAUAUUAUAUGAAAUACAAAGAAAUGAAAUAAGGUAUCGCCCAAGUGUGGAAUUAGGUUUUAUGGAAGAACUACGUGUGGCUUGAUCCCUCAAGGAGGGUACGUAGGCAGCCUAAGGUUAUUAGCUGCAGCCGCAGACUAAAUAUUAGUCAUAAUUGGUAUUUGAAUUGUUUGGUAGUUGGUUAAGAAUUAUUGGAAGGCCGAAGGCCAUUUGUGCGAAUUGCAUGAAAUUAUAUUGUGCAUGCUGCCAGUUGGGAAUAUUAAAUGUGUUUUCAUGCAGGUAUAAAUUUUGGGAAAUGUCCAAUUUAUAGGGGAGACUCUGCCGAAUUUUCGGCAGGAAGUCUCGGUUUUGAGUAUUUGGGCCUGAUAUCGGGAGGAUGUCGGGAAUUUCAAAGGGUUCGCCUCGAGUUCUGAAAAAUUCGGAGCGGGUCCUUUCAGAAGUCUUAGGAUGUGUUUUGUUGCAAGCUAACAAAGUAGUUGCAUACGACUUUUGUCAAUUGAAAUGACAUGAAAAGAAUUAUCUAACACAUGAUCUAGAAUUGGCAACCAUUGUUCACACACUGAAGAUAUGGAGAUAUUAUUUGUAUGGGGAACGUUUUGAACUCUUUUUGGAUCAUAAGAGUUUGAAGUAUUUAUUGACUUAGAAGGAGUUGAAUUUAAGACAAAAGCGAUGGAUGGAAUACCUGGAAGAUUAUGAUUUUGACUUACAUUAUCUUCCAGGAAAGGCUAAUGUGGUAACAGAUGCUUUAAGUCAAAAUCCUCAAGGAAUUGUAGCAAGUUUGUAUGAUCAAAGGUGGAAGAUGGUGGAGUCUCUUUACGAUUUUGACCUAUAUAUAGGUGCGCAUGAGGAUUGUGCAUAUCUAUGUAAUUUGGUAACUCACCCCACUUUGAUUGGAAGAAUAAUUGAGGCACGGGAUUUGGAUUCUAUGUCUGAAGACAUUCGAACUAAGAUUACAACUAGAAAGACACAGGAAGGAUGGAGUAUCCUCACAAGCAGUGGAUUAAGAUAUUUGAAUAAGUUUUAUGUACCAAAUAUUUCUGAUAUAAGAAAUGAAGUUCUCAGAGAAAGUCAUCAUUCACCUAUACAAUUCAUUCUAGAGGGACAAAGAUGUAUCGUGAUUUUAGACGUAAUUUUUGGUGGAGUAGUAUGAAGGGAGGUGUAGAAAUAUUUGCAGCAAAAUGUCUAACAUGUUAGCUGGUGAAAACUGAAUAUCAGAAACCGUCAAGUCCAUUACAGCCAUUACCAGUAGUAGAAUGGAAAUGAGAUCAUAUAACAAUGAAUUUUGUUACAGGUUUACCUAAAUAUCCAAAAGGACGUGAUGCAAUAUGGAUUAUGGUGGAUCGUUUGACCAAAUCUGCACAUUUCAUACCAGUCAAAUCAAUGGAUUCCACUAAAAAUCUUGGAAAGCUUUACGUUAGAGAUAUAGUAAGAUUACAUGGAAUUCCUAUUUUGAUUGUAUCGGAUAGAGAUUCCAAGUUUACUUCUAAAAUUUGGGGAAGCUUACAGAAAGUGUUAGGUACGCAACUAAAUUUGGUACCGCCUUUUAUCCCCAAACUUAUGGACAAUUGGAGAGAACUAUUCAAAUUUUAGAGGACUUGUUGAGAGCAUGUAUUCUAGAUUUGGAGGGAAGUAGUUGGGAAGAUCAUUUAGUGGUAGUAGAGUUUGCCUACAACAACUAUCAGUCUAGCAUUCAGAUACCACCUUAUGAAGCUUUAUAUUGAAGACCUUGUCAAUCACCUGUGUGUUGGACUGAAGUAGGAGAAACUGUAUUGCUAGGACCUGGUUUGGUACAAGAGACAACUGAAGGGAUUAAAGUUAUCAAGCAACGUCUUUUAACUACUCAAAGUUGACAAAAGAACUAUGUAGACCGAAGAAGGAAAACAUUAAGUAUUGACGUGGGUGAUUAUGUAUUUCUUAAACUCUCACUACUAAGUGGAGUAAAAAAAGGUUUGGGAAGACUGGAAAAUUAUCACCAAAGUUUGUUGGACCAUUUGAAAUCUUAGAAAGGAUGGGUGAAGUAGCUUAUAAGUCAGCAUUACCACCUCAACUGUUGAAUGUACCUGAUGUUUUCCUUGUUUCUAUGCUUCGAAAGUAUGAGCCUGAUCCAACCCAUUUUCUAGAUUGAGGAGAGCUCAAUUUAGAUGAGGAACUGUCAUUUGAAGAAAGACCGACUCAGAUUUUGGAUUCUAAGGAACAAGUGUGACGUACGAAAAUAAUACCAUUGGUCAAAAUUCUUUGGGUACAUGGGAAUACAUUGGAAGCUACAUGGGAAUUAGAAACUAAAAUGUGUAAGAAGUACCCAUAAAUUUUUCCCUUAUUCCAGUUUUUCUUUUUAACUCGAAAUUUCUUUAAGGAGAGUAGAUUGUGAGAGUCUGUUUCUUAAAUGUUCAUUAAAGAAAAAUAAAUGUUAUUAUAUAUUCUUAAGUAAUUAUCUUGCUAAGAAGGAAAUGUAUAUUUAUAAUUGUUUUACGUUUAUAAUACCAUUUCAAUAGUUAUGUGUAUAUUAUUUCAUUAAAUAUUUAUAUAUACAUAUGUUCUUUUGAAUAAAAAGGGUUAAAUUAUAUAUUUGUUCAUUAUUUCUUGGGAUGCCAUUAGAUGGUUAUUGGGUGCUUUAUAUACAUAUAUAUUAAUAACAUGGAUUAACAGUUUAGACCUGGCAUCCUUACAUUGUUUUCUUGGAGAGAAUGACUGUUUCUCUCUUAUCUUAAUUUGGAUGCUGGAUGUGGUUUUUUCCAUUAAAUUAGUUGAUGCAUUACCAUGCAUUUGGACAGCUCAUGCUUACAAUUUGGUGAAUAAGUCUAUCUUAGCUUGAGGUGGAGUUUAUAAUUUCAAUAGGUGUCACAGCCUUUGGAAAUAAAUCUCCUGGCGUUGACACAUAUAUAGCAACUUAUAAAAAAGAGUGGCGACCAAGUUAUCUUUUUGUAUAGAUAAGAUAAUGGGCUUUGUUAUUAUCCUCUCCACUGUUACCGCCAUCUCACCACCUAUAAAUAGGAGUGUUAAUGAAAGGAACAUAUAUCAUGCAACAUGAGAGAGAGAGAGAGAUAUGAUGAUGAUGAUGAAAUCCUUGGAAGAGAUUAGGACUUAACUUGUAUUUUCUUAACUUAGAGAUAUGUUUUGGAAUCGAGAUAGGAGUUUUUUGGUGACCUUUUACAAAGAUUGAUCUAAUUAAAUUUUGUGAGCACUAUUGUUCACCCGUGUUCGUGUUUAACUCCUGAUGUGGAAGGGCGAAGUUCCCCACUGGCUUGAAGACCACUUGCUGGUCGACAAGUCAGCUUUCUUUGGUGUGUGAGCGUGCCACUGCUAGCAAUGUAGAUUCUAGCAGACUUAUUUUGAAAGUGGAUAACUUGCGCCUCAAGUUACUGGCUUCUAAAACAAAACGAUUGUGAAUUUGGGUGAGGAAUAUCUCCCAAGUAAGUUCUUUUCUUGCCUCAGACUGGUGAGGACUUUCAUAAUUUAUCUCAGUAUCAAAUGGUUGUUCUGGCCAGAAUGGAUAAUAAUAAAGUACUAUUUUCAGGCAGAACUCCCUUUUACAAAAUUAAGCAGGGAGAAACCGACUCUAGAAAGGCAAAAAGAUGGCUGAAACUCCAUUUCUGCCUGGGUGGAAACUUCUAAUCCGGGCUGGACUGGGCAUGUCUACGCUGGACUGUACUGUCGACAACUUUAGCUUCUUGGCUUCAGCUGUAAAUCGAUACCAAAGUUCAAUUUUGGCAGAGCUUCAAUCUACUUCAAGCCUUGGGAGACUUUUGAGCGGGCAGAACUGCGACUUCUUCAGUUUGAAGGGACAGAAGUGGCUAUUCGUAUUCAGCAAGCUGGAACUAUGCUAUAAAAUUUGUUGAGGUUUUCAUAUUUGUGAAAACUCAAACUGUGUUUGUCUUGGCUGUUGCUAAACCAAACUUGUAACGAGAGGGAUCUCGCUUUCAGAGGACUUAUUUUCUAAGUCUGAACUUCGGAAUUCUGAUCUAAAGCUGGUUUUCUUUGGAUCCAAGUGAGCUUUUUCUUGUUUGUUUUUUGUGAUUGAUUGAUGCAUUGAGUGUCCUUUGUUCCUUUGCCUACUUUCGUUUUUAUAAGAGACCCUCCUGGGGAGGUGAUUUUUAAUCCUAAAUAAUGGGCGGCAAAAAGAUCUCUUAUAAUAUAAAGUAAGAAGGAUUUCUUAUCAAUCAAGACAGAUAGGUUCUGAGCAGUCACCUCCUAAAGCAGUCUCUUGCCUGGUUUCCUGGGUGGCAGUUUCUAAUUCAAACCACCGCCACCAUCUGUGUAGGCUUUUUAUGGCGGUUUGGCUUUUUCUUUUAUAUUUUCUGAAUGGUUCCCUAUUUCCCGUUCUAAUUUAGAAAGCGUGAUCCGUGAAUCCCUGGGGGGGUGGUGCAUCGAUUUGGAGCAAAAUCUUGAACAUAGAUGGGUUUUUUGAUCUUCAAUUGGCAGUGUUUCAGAGACGUCCCUUUCAUAUUUUUAAAUUUCAGUCGGUAUUGCUGACUUUUCUAAAGCUGAGGCAAUCACGUGGGUGUGUUUUUGAUCCCUUGGGUCUGAACCUAAUCAAUAAUUCAUGGGCUGAUCUUUUGAAGCCCAUCUUGUCAGUUUCCUCUUUGGGCCUUUCUUUGGGCUGAAGCUUUGUUUUCAACAUUCUUGGUGUGAAGCCCAAUCUGUCUGGAUCCUAUUUUGUUUUUCUCAAGUUUUCGGGCUGGGCAGGCAAUUUCAUCAUGGGCUUGUCUCUUGGUUUUUGGUGUGCCGAAUUUUGGGCCCAAACAAUGCCCCCAUUAAGUCUGAAUCGUUUUUUGGACGGUUUUAGACUUAAUGUUUUGCCAUUUAAUUCGCGCACCAGUUUCUUCCGUCUUUUCGCCCACGUCUGCCAUGUUUGCUUGCUACGAACUAGAGUUCGUGGGAAAACGGCUAGUUAUUAGCUAGUUACUAGCUAAUAAUCAUCAGGUGCCGUCCCAUCUUCUUCUUCCCACGUUUUCGAGCCCCUCUUUAAAAGAAAUUCAAAUUCAUAGCCUCUGAAAACCCUAAACCUUCCAACUCUUAUUCCUGCGAGCUUCUUUCGAGAUCUCCAUAUCUUUCUUCAAACCUCUCCUUCUUCUGUUUCUGCCUUUGAAUCAGAAAUGUCUUCCCCAAGGUCCCGUGCUCAAUCCUCUUCCGCUCCAAUUCCUCCCGAUUAUAUCACUGGGAGCGGGAUUAAUGCUCACGCGAUAGAAAUCAGGAGCAAGCUUCAUCCCUUUGCCCAGAAGAAUCUGGACGAGAAUGUCCUCCAUUUGUUCGAGAAUACCCUGGUGUUAGGGCCUCACUGGUUUGGUCCUGUUCCAGCUGAGAUGGCAGAACUGCUAAAAAAGGAUGCCGAGGCUCCUUUGUGUUUUGAGAGCUCUUCUGCCCUGGCCUAUCAUUCUUGGGUUAGCAAGAAUUUGAGUCGAUCUUUCCCGUCCAGCGAGGUGAGGAACAGUUCCGUCAAAUGGGCAGACUGGAUUGACAGACUUCUCCCGAGAUAUGGGGGUCACUGGAGGAGAGCUGGGAUUUAUGACGCCAUUCUUCUGUCCAAACAGUCGAUUAACAGAGAUGAGAACCUGCUUGCUGCUGCCCUGUGUUUUUGGAAUUCUGCCAGCAACACAUUUGAUUUCCGUGUGGGUCCCAUGGCUCCAACUCUGCUGGAUAUGGCUCAGAUUUUUGGGUUUAGGCCCCAUGGCAGACCUGUUGAUGCUGUUGGGGACUAUCACAGGCGAAAGAACCAAGAGAAAGUGGCUACCCCCUUCACUGUCUCCCCAGCCACGAUCAACCAGAACUGUUCUUUCUCCAAUUAUCUGAAGAGAUUCAGUGCUGAGAAGGACAAAGAUCAGCAACAUAUGUUGUUCCUUCUAUAUUGGCUGAACCGAUUUGUCUUCCCCAAUCGGUCUUCGGCAGUUCUGCUUGAGUAUAGACAUCUGGCAAAAGCUCUUCACAAUCACACUGAUGUGGGGCUUGGACCAACAGUUCUGGCCCACCUUUUCAAGAAUCUGCAUACUGCCACUCUGGAAAAUCCGCUGAACCUGUCUGCCCCUGGCGCAUUCUGGAUGAUCCAGAUCUGGCUGCAGGUAUAUUUCCCUGAGUUAAGGUUCCCAGACAUAGUUCUGCCUGAAAACCAAGUUCUGGCUCUUCCCCUGAUGUCUGCAGAAGUGCCUAAGCGCUCUCUUGAGGAGUAUUUGAUGUUCUUCAGGCAUUGUACCAAGAGGUCGGCUGCUCAGUGGCAAGUGGUGAUCAGAAGGACCUAUCCCUGGUUCCAGACUGUAUUUUGGCUUUUUGAGAAGGAGCCAGAAGAUGAGGCUGCCAGAACAGACUUUAGGAAGAAGUUCUUGAGCAUUACUCUGCCUAGAGAUCUGCCUCAUGGUGGGGGCAAACCUCCAAACUAUCAUCUGGGGGCAGAAGUCUAUCAUCCUAACUUCUGUGCAAGGCAGCUUGGCUGUCCUCAGCUUAUUCCGCUGAAAUCAUAUCGUAGUUGCAAUCGGGCCUCUUCUUGGAGGGAUGCAGAUGAUCUGGAGGUGCACAAGGAUGCCCGGUGUGCAGUGAAUAAGAUCAACAAUAGCACGGAUGCCCUCUAUCCCUCGUGGGAACCAAAUUCCUGCAGUUCCGCCGAUUUUGAUGCCUGGUGGCACGCCAGAUUCCAGAGUCUGCCGGCUUCUGUCACUGCUCUCAAAGUGCUUUUUGAUGGUUGGGAGAAUUGGCACACUUUUGCGGAUGGGGAUGCUAGAGCGCACCUGAUCCAGACCAUCAAAGAUAUCAAUGCGCAGAUCAUAGAAGGUAGACAUCUAAUUCUGUCUGUGAUUUUGUUCUGUCUUGGUUGUCGAUCUCUAACAUAUGUUCUGCCUGUUUUAGAUCCUUCUUUGACCAGCGUAGGUGGGCAAUCUGUUCAUGCUGGAGAAGUGAUUGGUAAGUCUUUUUCUUUUAGUUCUAUUCUAUCCCUUCCAGCUGGAUUGGUUUCUAAUGUCUAAUGCCUUGGUGCAGUCUCUUCUGUUAUUGCUGCCGGGGACUUGGAGCUCCCCUCUGCAGAUGAAGGAGAUGAGGUCCAGACAGAACAAACACCUGCCGAGGCCGCUCUUUCUGCCAGAAGAAAAAGGAAAGGGCCUGCCCUUCCUUCGGACAAUAUCAUUCGGCCUGGUAUUUCAGGUAAGCUCAUGAUGUUCCAACCAUUUUUUUAUUCUGUCUUGCCUUCUUUUCCCUAAUACUGCUUUUCUGUGCAGCUGGAAGUCCUUCCCCUCCUCCUACCAAGUUGAAAAAACUUAGAAAGAAGAGUGAGGAGGAGUAUGUCGCUGCAGAAGAAACGGCAGCAGUCCCCACCACUACCUCUAGGACGGAUGAAGAGCUGCGAGAGGCUUUUGAGGAGGUGGAGCAAGAAAAAGAAUUGGAAGAGCUGGAAGAAACGCCUCAGAACAAAACGGCAGUGGUGGAAGAAGAGGUAAGUUUUAUUUCGAUGAUUCGCAUCAGUUCCCUUCUUGCCCUGUUUCUUUCGUUCUGACCCCCAUUUUGUAGGAGGAGAUUCUUGCUGAGGUGAUUGCAGAGAGCAUUGCCUUGGCGCAGAAGCAACAAGGGGGUCCAAGGGCUGAGCUGACUAGCUCAGAACUAGCCCUAUUUGAGGAUGCCGAUGAGGAUGCCGAGGCAGAGCAUUCUACUGCCGUUCCAGCGGCUGAGGAUCAGGCGGAACGGUCUGCAUCAGACCCUGUGGACCAGGCAGAAUUAACUGUUGUGGUUCCGGAGGCUGAGGUGGGAACGACUGCAGCUGCUCCUGUGGUUGUGGUAAUUUUCCUCCUUGAUUGUUCAUGUUUUUCUGCUGUUCUGUCUGUUCUAACAGUUGUAGUCUUUCUAGGUGGAAGUGCCUAAGGCUACUGGUGCUCUGGCUGCGGUAUCCAGCCCCCUGAAACCUCCCAUUGUCGCUGUAAGUUUUCAUAACUUUUGAGCCUCCUUUAUCUUCCACUUUCUGCCUGGUCUUAACUUAUGUUCUCUUCUGCAGAUGCCUAUUCAUUCCUUUCCAGGAUCAUCUGCCACGGCUUCUUUUGCUGAUCCAGAGCUGGAAGAGUUUGAAGCCAUGGAUCUGGAUGCUCAACUGGAGAGGCUGGAGAAACUCAGCUCUCCUCCGAGCAAGGCAAAAUCUAGAGCAGUGCAAGAGGCCAUGGAGAGGUUAAGAAUCUGGCAGUCGACUGAGCUGGAAUUUGAUGAAGAUACAGGGGCUCUAGAUCAGCUGAUGAAGGACCUGGACCUGCUGCAUAGACAGAACAUGGCUCCGAGGCCUAUUCUUGAGAUGGGCCUAAGCCUGGCCAGAGAUGUGCUUAAUCUGCAUGAUCGCUAUGAAGAUCUUAGGCCUACGUUCAAAACUUCUGAGUUCUGUAAGGCCACACAUGAAGCCAAUCUGGCUGACUUUGCUAGGCAGAAAACAGAACUGGAUCAGAUGGUGGCCGGAUAUAAGGAGGCCAAGGCUACCGCGGAUAAGUUGGAGAAGCAGAUUGAAGAACUUCAAAAACAACUGGCAGAGUGUAGGGAGGUGCAGAACAAACUUGGGGCUGGACUGAGUUCGAAAACCAAAGCCACCUUCCUUGUGCAGAGAAUGGUUGCAGCUUCCAGGCCAGCUUUGGAAAUCGCAGAAGCCUCGAUUCAUCAAGGAGUGCUGCUCCAGAAAGAACUCUCUGUCAAGAAGGCGAAUCUGCAGGAAACCCUUAGAAAAUUAGGGUUUUAGUUUUUCAUUUCUGUUUAUUUAUUUUUUUGGACAAAUUUGCCGCUAUGGUGGCUAUUUUUAAAUAAAGUUUGUUCUGCUUUCCUUUUAAAUAGCAUUUUACUAUUUUCAUUUACCCUUGACGUAAUAAACAAAACAAUACUGUGAAAGUAGAAACGAAACAAUCUUUAAAGCAAAAAUGGAUUCAAAAAAAAAAAAAAGAAAAGUCAGCCUUGUUCUUUUUCUAUCCCGGGGUCUGUCUGUACAGCUUGUGAAUCCCACAUGGUUGGGUAGAAUUUUUUUAACCAUUUGCCAUUGAUUGGGACGUUGUGAAUAACUCCAUCUCUGUCCUGCAACCUGUUCACCCGUUUUCGUGUUUAACUCCUGAUGUGGAAGGGCGAAGUUCCCCACUGGCUUGGAGACCACUUGUUGGUCGACAAGUCAGCUUUCUUUGGUGUGCGAGCGUGCCACUGCUAGCAAUGUAAAUUCUAGCAGACUUAUUUUUAGAGUGGAUAACUUGCGCCUCAAGUUACUGACUUCUAAAACAAACGAUUGUGAAUUUGGGUAAGGAAUAUCUCCCAAGUAAGUUCUUUUCUUGCCUCAGACUGGUGAGGACUUUCACAAUUUAUCUCAGUACCAAAAAAUGGUUGUUCUGCCCAGAAUAGAUAAUAAUAAAGUACUGUUUCAGGCAGAACUGCCUUUUACAAAAUUAAGAAGGGAGAAAUCAACUCUAGGAAGGCAAAAGGAUGGCUGGAAUCCCAUUUCUGCCUGGGUAGAAACUUCUGAUCCGGGCUGGACUGGGUAUGUCUAUGCUGGACUGUACUGUCAACAACUUUAGCUGCUUGGCUUCAGCUGUAAAUCGAUACCAAAGUUCGAUUUUGGCAGAGCUUCAAUCUACUUCAAGCCUUGGGAGGCUCUUGAGCGGGCAGAACUGUGACUUCUUCAGUCUGAAGGGACAAAAGUGGCUAUUCUCGAGGAUUUAGCAAGCUGGAACCAUGCUGUAAAAUUUGUUGAGGUUUUCAUAGUUGUGAAAACUCAAACUAUGUUUGUCUUGGCUUUUGCUGAACCAAAUUUGUAACGAGGGAUCUCGUUCUAGGAAAUUUGUUUUCUAAGUCUGAACCUUGGAAUUCUGAUUUAAGGUUGGUUUCUCUUGGAAUUUAAGUGAGCUCUUGGCUGUUUUUCUUGCUGUUGUUUUUUUGGUUGAUGAGUUGAGUGUCCUUUCUUUCUUGCCUGCUUCUGUUUUUAUAAGAGACCCUCCUUUUGAAGGUGGUUUUAAAUUUUAAUAAUGGGCGGCAAAAGAUUUCUCAAAACGUAAAGUAGGAAAGAUUUUUAUCAAUUAUGGCAGAUAGACUCCCAGUGGUCACUUCCUAUAGCGAUCCCUUCCCUGGUUUCCUGGCUGACGGUUUUUCUAUUUUAAUGCCACCGUCUGUGUGAGCUGAUCCUAUGGCGGUUUUGAUUUUUCUUUUGUAUUUUCUGAACAACUCCCUGUUUCUUGCUCUUGAAAACGUGAUUUGCGAAAUCUUUUUAGAAGAUGGUGUGUUGCUUUGGAGCAAAAAGUCUCUGAUCAUAGACGCCCCUUUGAUUUUUCUUUCUCGGCUGUUUUCAGAAACGUCCCUUCUCACAUAAAAACUCUAGUUGGAAUUGCUGACUUUCCAGAGAGGUGAGGUAGCCACGUGAAUGUGUCUUUAGUCUCUUGGGCUUGAGUUUAAACAAUAUUUUGUGGGCUGAUCUUCAAAGGCCCAAUAUGACAGCUUUCUACGUUUUGGGUUUUUUGGGACUGGAUAAGUAUUUCACCACGGGCCUGUUUCUGGAUCUCUUUGGUGUGUCAAAUUUAGGCCCAAACAAUGCCCCCAUUAAGUCUGAACUUGUUUUUGGAACGGUUUUUCAGACUUAAUGGGUUUUGCCAUGAAUUUGCGCGCCAGUCCUUUCCGCUUCGUGCGUCUGUCACGUCCGCCCAUAAUGAUCUAGAGUUCGUGGGAGAAGAAAAACGGCUAUUUAUUUGGCUAGUUACUAGCCAAUAAUCACCAGCUGCCGUAUCUUCUUCUUCCUCUCACGUUUCGAGCCUUCCCUUUUAAAAAGAAAUUUCAGACCCACUGCCUCUUAGCCUUUCAAACUUGGAACUUCUCUUCGGGUUUUCAUCGUUUCCUUCGAACUUCCCCCUUUUCUCUCUGCUUCCUUCCUUGAAUCCGAAAUGUCUUCCCUAAGGUCCCAUGCUCAGUCUUCUUCAGCUUCAAUCCCUCCUGAUUACAUCACUGGGAGCGGGAUUGAUGCCCACGCAAUAGAGGUUAGGAGCAAGCUCCAUCCUUUUGCUCAGAAGAAUCUGGAUGAAAAUGUUCUUCAUUUGUUCUAGAAUACCCUGGUGCUGGGGUCUCACUGGUUUGGCCCUGUUCCGGCUGAGGCGGCAGAACUGCUGAAAAAGGACGCCGAGGCUCCUUUGUGCUUCGAGAGUACUUCCGCCCUGGCUUCUCAUUCUUGGGUUAGCAAGAAUUUGAGUCGAUCUUUCCCGUCCAGCGAGGUGAGGAACAGUCCAGUCAAAUGGGCAGACUGGAUUGACAGACUUCUCCCGAGAUAUGGGGGUCACUGGAGGAGAGCUGGGCUCUAUGACGCCAUUCUUCUGUCCAAGCAGUCGAUUAACAGAGAUGAGAACCUGCUUGCUGCUGCCUUGUGUUUUUGGAAUUCUGCCAGCAACACAUUUGAUUUCCGUGUGGGUCCCAUGGCUCCAACUCUGCUGGACAUGGCUCAGAUUUUUGGGUUUAGGCCCCAUGGCAGACCUGUUGAUGCUGUUGGGGAUUAUCACAGGCGAAAGAACCAAGAGAAAGUGGCCACUCCCUUCACUAUCCCUCCAGCCACGAUCAACCAGAACUGCUCCUUCUCCAACUAUCUGAAGAGAUUCAGCGCUGAGAAGGACAAGGAUCAGCAACAUAUGUUGUUCCUUCUGUAUUGGCUGAACCGAUUUGUCUUCCCCAAUCGGUCUUCGGCAGUUCUGCUUGAAUACAGACAUCUGGCAGAAGCACUUCACAAUCACACUGAUGUGGGGCUUGGACCAACAGUUCUGGCCCACCUUUUCAAGAAUCUGUAUACUGCCACUCUUGAGAAUCCAUUGAACCUGUCUGCUCCUGGCGCAUUCUGGAUGAUCCAGAUCUGGCUGCAGGUAUAUUUCCCCGAGUUAAGGUUUCCAGACAUAGUUCUGCCUGAAGACCAAGUUCUGGCCCUUCCCCUGAUAUCGGCAGAAGUGCCCAAGCGCUCUCUUGAGGAGUAUUUGAUGCUCUUCAGGCAUUGUACCAAGAGGUCGGCUGCUCAGUGGCAAGUGGUGAUCAGAAGGACCUAUCCUUGGUUCCAGACUGGAUCUCGGCUUUUCGAGAAAGAACCAGAAGACGAGGCUGCCAGAACAGAUUUCAGGAAGAAAUUUCUGAGCAUUACUUCGCCCAGAGAUCUGCCCCAUGGCGGGGGCAAACCUCCAAACUAUCAUCUGGGGGCAGAAGUCUAUCAUCCCAACUUUUGUGCAAGGCAGCUUGGCUGCCCUCAGCUCAUACCGUUGAAAUCAUAUCGGAGUUGCAAUCGGGCCUCUUCUUGGAGGGAUGUAGAUGAUCUGGAGGUGCACAAGGAUGCCCGGUGUGCAGUGAACAAGAUAAAUAAUAGCACGGAUGCCCUCUAUCCCUCAUGGGAGCCAAAUUCCUGCAGUUCUGCUGAUUUUGACGCCUGGUGGCAAACCAGAUUCCAAAAUCUACCAGCUUCUGUUACUGCCCUCAAGACGCUUUUUGACGGUUGGGAGAACUGGCAUCUUUUUGCGGAGGGGGAGGCCAAAGUGCAUAUGAUCCAGACCAUCAAGGACAUUAAUGCACAAAUCAUAGAAGGUAGAUACUUGAUUCUGUCUGGGACUUGUUCUGUCUUGAUAAUCUAUUUUUAACCUAUGUUCUGCCUGUUAUUAGAUCCUUCCCUGACAAAGAACGUGGGUGGACAGUCUGUCCAGGCUGGAGAAGUGAUUGGUAAGCCUUUCCUUUUUAAUUUUCUUCUGUCUUUUCCUGUUGGAUUGGCUUUUAACCUCUAACUGCUUGGUGCAGUCUCUUCUGUCAUUGCCGCCGGGGAUUUGGAGCUCCAUUCUGCUGAUGAAGAGGAUGAUGUUGAGGCAGAACAAACCCCUGCCGAGGCUGUUCCUUCUGGUAGAAGAAAAAGAAAAGGGCCUGCUCCCCCUCUGGAUAAUACCGCGCGGCCUGGCAUUCCUGGUAAGUUUGGAGCAUUCCAACUGUUCUCUUUGGAUUUAUUCUGUUUUCUCUUUUCUAAUCUUUUCCUUUUGUUCUGUCCAGCUGGGAGUCCUUCUCCUCCUCCUACUAAGUUAAAAAAGCUUAAGAAGAGGGGUGAAGUGGAAUACUUUGCCGCAGAAGAAGCCGCAGCAAUCCCAGCCACUACUUCUGGGACGGACGAUGAGCUGCGAGAAGCCUUUGAGGAGGUGGAGCAGGAAAAAGAGCUGCAAGAGCUGGAGGAGGUGCCCCAAGAGAAGGUGGCAGCGGUGGAAGACGAGGUGAGUUUUAGUCUGUGACUCGCAUUAGUUCCUCUUUUGCUUCAUUCCUUCUGUUCUGACCCCCUUCUUGUAGGAUGAAAUUCCUGCUGAGGUGAUAGCGGAGAGCAUUGCCUUGGCGCAGAAGCAACAAAAGGGUCCGAGUGCUGAGCUGACCAGCUCAGAACUGGCUCUUUUUGAGGAUGCUGAGGCAGAACACUCUACUGCCGCUCCAGAGGCCGAGGAUCAGGUGGAGCCAUCUGCAUCAGACCCCGUGGAUCAGGCAGAAUUAACCGUUGUGGUCCCGGAGGCUGAUGUGGGAACGACUGCAGCUGCUCCUGUGGUUGUGGUAAUUUUCCCCUUCAACUGUUCAUGUUUUCCUGCUGUUCUGUCUGUUCUGUCUUUUUAACAUUUGCAGUCUUUCCAGGUGGAAGUGCCUAAAGCUGCUGGUGCCCUGGCUGCGGUGUCCAGCCCUCUGAAGCCUCCCAUUGUCGCUGUAAGUUUUCAUAACUUUUGAGCCUCCUUUAUCUUCCACUUUCUGCCUGGUCUUAGCUUAUGUUCUCUUCUGCAGAUGCCUAUUCAUUCCUUUCCAGGAUCAUCUGCCACGGCUUCUUUUGCUGAUCCAGAACUUGAAGAGUUUGAAGCCAUGGAUCUGGAUGCCCAAUUGGACAGACUGGAGAAACUCAGCUCUCCUCCAGGCAAGGCAAAAUCUAGGGCGGUGGAGGAAGCCAUGGAGAGGUUGAAAAUCUGGCAGUCCACUGAGCUGGAAUUUGAUGAAGAUACAGGGGCUCUUGAUCAGCUGAUGAAGGACCUGGACCUGCUGCAUAGACAGAACAUGGCUCCGAGGCCUAUUCUUGAGAUGGGCCUAAGCCUGGCCAGAGAUGUGCUUAAUCUGCAUGAUCGCUAUGAAGAUCUUAGGCCUACGUUCAAAACUUCUGAGUUCUGCAAGGCCACACAUGAAGCUAAUCUGGCUGACUUUGCCAGGCAGAAAACAGAACUGGAUCAGAUGGUGGCUGGAUAUAAGGAGGCUAAGGCUACCGCGGAUAAGUUGGAGAAGCAGAUUGAAGAACUCCAAAAACAGCUGGCAGAGUGUAGGGAGGUGCAGAACAAACUUGGGGCUGGACUGAGUUCCAAAACUAAGGCCACCUUCCUUGUGCAAAGUAUGGUUGCAGCUUCUAGGCCAGCUUUGGAAAUUGCAGAGGCUUCAAUUCACCAGGGGGUGUUGCUCCAGAAAGAACUGUUUGUCAAGAAAGCGAACCUACAGGAGACUCUUAGAAAGCUAGGAUUUUAGCUUCUUCUUUCUUUUGUUCGAAUAAUUUGCCGCAAAGGUGGCUAUUUUUAUAUAAGCUUUCAAAGCAUUUUUACUGCUUUUUAUUCUUGAUGCAAUAACCGGACACGGUUUUGAAAGUACAGUAAAAACAGAACAACAUUAAAGUAAAAACAAAUCUAAACAAGAUUCCCUUUCAAGAAACAAAAAGGUCAAUCUUCUUCCUCUUCUAUCCCAGGAUCCGUUUGUACAGCCUGUGAAUCCCACAUGGUUGGAUAGAACUUCUUUAACCAUUUACCAUUGAUUGGGGCAAAGUGAACAACUCCAUCUCGGUCCUGCAACCUAUAUGCCCCCAUUCCGAGGAUUUGGUUAAUUAUAAAAGGGCCUUCCCAGGUAGGUGACCACUUCCCAUACCCAGCUAUGUGUGCUCCAAGGGGCAGAAUUGCCUUCCAGACUAUCUCUCCCUCUUCAAAACUCUUGUUUUUGACUCUUUUGUUGUAGGCUCUCGAUACAGCCUGUUUUCCUGCUAAGAGUUUGUUGAGGGUGUCAAUUCUGCUUGCAUCCAAUCCUUCCAAUUCCAGUAACAUGGCUUGAGAGUAAUCCUCCCCAGUGAGACCAUGCUGGUGAGCAAUUCUAAGAGACUGGACUGCUAUCUCCAUGGGAAGAAUUGCAUCGUGGCCGUAGGUUAGAGCAUAGGGGGUCAUGCCAGUCGCUUCUCUCUUCGAAGUUCUGUAUGCCCACAAAGUUUCUGACAACUUCUCGUGCCAUUGCUUUGGAUUUUUCUCUAGCAUCUUUCUAAUGAUAUUGAUAAUCACCUUGUUACUUGAUUCUGCCUGUCCAUUAGCUUGAGCAUAGUAAGGAGUAGAUUGAAGCAGUUUGAACUUGAAUGUUUCUGCCAUAUCUAGCAUGUCCCUAGAUAUGAAAGAAGAACCCCUAUCGGUUGUGAUUGAUUCUGGAAUGCCAAACCUUUGUAUGAUCUGUUCUUCUAUGAAGGUGAUGAUCUCUUGAGAUGUUGUGGUUUUUACUGGCUUGGCUUCUACCCACUUGGUGAAAUAAUCUGUGGCAACGAUGAUGAAACAGUGCUGCUGGUUGCUGGCUGGAUAGAUUUUGCCAAUGAGAUCCAUUGCCCAUCCCCUGAAAGGCCAUGGUUUUACUACUGGAUUCAUGGGAACCGAAGGAGCCUGCUGGAUUGGGCCGUGCCUUUGACAGGCUUCACAUCCUUUGGAAUAGUCGAUGCAAUCCUUCAUCAUGGUUGGCCAGAAGUAGCCAUAUCUUCUGAUUAACCAGCACAUCUUUCUUCCCCCUUGGUGAGCUCCACAGACCCCAUCAUGGGUUUCUCCCAUGACUUUCAUGUAUUCUGUCUUCCCGAGGCACCUUAAUAGUACCUCAUCCUUACUUUUUCGGACCAAAUCUUCAUUCCACAUGAGGUAGUUUGUAGCCAUGAUUCUGACUCUUUUCUCAGAGGGCAGAGUGGGAUAUCGUAAGUAAGUCAUGAUAGGCUCCCUCCAAUCAUCUCCAGUGAUCGAGGCAGAAUUGACUUCUAUCUCCAUUCCUCUCGUCAAAACAGAUGGUAGACUUUUCCUUCCUAUCUUGAUGAUCCUUUGGACGCAGUCUUCGGGCAUUUGUAUGCCUGAUGCCACCUGAGCCAGUUCAUUGGCUGCAAAGUUUUUCUCCCUUGGGAUGUGCUCCCAAGUAGCUUCUCUAAAUUCAGACACUUAUAUUCUCCAGCAAUCUGUUUUAGGACAAGCAUGGAAUCUCCCAAGAUUUCCACGGACUGGACUCCUAAUUCUACCAACAUUUCGAGCCCUAUAAUCAAAGCCUCAUAUUCGGCCCUGUUGUUGGUGCAUUGGAAAUCUAGCUGGAAAGAAUAGCAAUGCCUGACCCCUAAUGGUUCUUCCAGAACAAUCCCUGCUCCGGAAGCCUUGUCUGUCUUCGAUCCAUCAAAAUAUAAUUUCCAAGGUGUGAGAUGAAUCGAGUAAAUUGGAUUGUUAAGGCAAACAUGAGCUCUAGUUAACAGAUCUGCAUUUGCAAUGUCCAAAGAAUCCAUGUUUUCAAUUUCCUCUCCCGGGUGAUCUGCCAAAAAGUCUGCCACAGCUUGCCCUUUGACAGCUUUCUGGGGGACAUACCUCAGGGUGAAUUCUGUCAAAGCCAAAGUCCAUUUCCCAAUUCUGCCCCUCAGCAUUGGUCUUGUUAGCAUGUAUUUGAUUAAGUCGGUUUUGGCAAUGAUGUAGAUAGUAUGUGGCAGCAUGUAGUGCCUGAGCUUCACAGCAGUGAAAUAUAAGGCUAGGCAAAGCCUUUCUAUUGCGGAAUACCUUCUUUCCACUUCUGUCAACGUUCUGCUUAGAUAGUAGACCGCCUGUUCUUUUCCUUCUUUGUUAUCUUGAACUAGCAGACUUCCAAUGGAUACUUCUGAUGCAGAUACAUAAAGUUUGAAGGGUCUGCCCCUUUUUGGUGGGGACAGAACUGGUGGAUUUGAGAGGUAAUGCUUUAUUUCCUGGAAAGCCUGUUGGUGCUGUUCUUCCCAUUUGAAUGUCUGUUCCUGCUUCAGUCUCAACAGGGAGGAAAAGGGUUGGAUUUUUCCUGCAGAAUUGGAUAUGAAUCUCCUUAGGAAAUUGAUUUUUCCUAAGAGACUCUGAAGUUCCUUCUUGUUCCGAGGUGGUAGAGCUUCUAUGAUGGAUUUUGCUUUAUUUCUGUCAACCUCUAUACCUCUCUGGUGGACCAAGAAUCCUAAGAAAUUCCCUGCCUGGACUCCAAAAACACAUUUUUUGGGGUUCAUUUUUAGCUUGUGCUGCCUCAUUCUCAGGAAUGCCUUUCUCAGACUUGCUACGUGAUUUCCUUCCUCAGGGGAUUUAAUCACCACGUCAUCUAUGUAUACUUCCAAAGAAUGUCCUAUCAUAUCAUGAAAAAUAGAAUUCAUUGCCCUUUGGUAGGUAGCUCCCGCAUUUCUCAAACUGAAAGGCAUUACAGUAUACUCGAAAGCACCUAUAUGUCCUGGACACAUAAAGGCUGUCUUGUGGAUGUCCUGUUCUGCCAUCAUAAUCUGGUUAUAACCUGCAUUGCCGUCCAUGAAAGAUAGCAUCUGGUUAUGAGCGGCUCCAUCCACUAACAUGGCUGCCAUUGGCAUAGGAUAUUCGUCUUUAGGAGAUGCCUCAUUCAGAUUCCUGUAAUCUACGCAGAUUCUAACUGCCCCUGUUUUUCUUUUGAGAACAGGUACAAUAUUUGCUAACCAAUCGGCAUAGACGGCUGGCCUGAUGAAUCCUGCCUUGAGCAACCUUCCUAUCUCUUCUUUGACCUUUAGUUCUGUGUCCAUAGACAUUCUUCUUCUGGCCUGUUUGACUGGAAGGUAGCCAUCUUUAAUUGGCAGCUUGUGCUCCACUAACUGCCUGUCUAAUCCUGGCAUCUCGUGGUAAUGCCAGGCAAAACAAUCUCUGAACUCCUGCAAAAGUGCCGUGAGUUCAGCCUUGAGUGGUUCCUUUAACAGUGUACUGAUGAAAGUAGGCCUUGGAUCUUCUUCUGUCCCUAAGUUUAUCUCCUGUAGAGGGUCCUCUACUUCUGGCAGGGAGUCAUCUAGUGCUGCCGGUGCAAAUUCCAACACUUCCUCCUGUAAAACUUCUUCCUCUUGUUCUUUUAUGCUUUCAUGGGUGAAUUCUGCCAUAUUAAUGGCUGGAUUCUGUAUGAAAAGUCUCCUUUCUCCCCAGUAUAUCAACAAUCUUUUUGUGAUGGAUCGGAUUGUUGCAGCUCGAUCCUUGUCCAGUUGAUUGGGACUAAACAUCAGAAUUCUGGAAGUUCGGCACAAGAAAGUCUAUUCCAGUCCUCUAGAGAACUGGCUAGACCUUCUUCAAUGAGUCUUUGGGCCGUGACACCAUGGGGGCGGCCGUUCUGAUUGACUCCAAGGAAAGUGUAGGGACCGAGGUCAUCAUGAUAAUACCUUGCUUCAAAGCACAUGGCAGAGGGUAGGAAUGGCCGUGGAUCGGCCUCUAUAAUCUCCAUGCAGCCUUCUUCAUUCCAUAUUGCUAACUGCUGGUGGAGGGUGGAAGGGAUACAAAGGCUCUGGUGAAUCCAAUCCCUGCCGAGUAGUGCAUUGUAGGUGGUGGAGGUAGUGUCUAUAACAAAGAAUGCUAUUUUCAACUCUUUGCUUCCGACUACGACAUCUACAUCUAAGAUGCCGUGUAUUUUGGUGAUGCCCCCAGCGAAGUUGGUGACGGUUAAUCGUGUUGGAAUUAGAUCCCUCUCUGUCCUGCCCAACUUGGUCAGCAUUGUGUGGGGUAAUAGAUUAAUGGCUGCACCUCCAUCUACCAUGAUCUUGGAGAUAGGAAUACCUCCAAGAUUUGCCGUUAUAAACAACGGUCUGAGGUGAUUUUCCAUUUCUCUGGUUGGCUUGGCGAAACAAGCCUGCUCUGUAGCUGGUUUAUUGGCUGUUCUGCCUGUCCUAGGGUCGUCUGCUUGCGGUUCUGGCGGCUCCUCUGCUUCUGCCAACCUACACUCAAAGCUCUCCUGGGAGAAAACGUCCCCUUCCAGAGUGCUUUUUUGUCCUUCGGUAGCCCUGAAUUCACCUGGUAGGAUGAAUACCAUGUUAAUUCCCAGAUCACCCUGUAGGAGGUCUUCUAAUUCUGCGCCAAAAGCUUCUGUUUCUGGGUCCAAUUCCUCACCAAAUUCCAUUAAUUCUUCCCCAUAUUCUUCCGUCCAGUCAUCCUGUUCUGCUACUUCGAGGGGCUCUUUCUGAUCAUCUGCAGAAGGUUCAUAGUCUAAUUGCUCUUCUUCAUAUUCCUCAGCGUAGUCGUCUUCUUUUUGUAACGGGGUAGACCCGGAUUUCUCUAAUGUCCGCGUGGUGUCAGGAUGGCUGCCGGACGACGAGGCUAUAUGGAUAGGAGACCUGGCUGGCUGCUCUGUUUUCAGCAAUUCCCUUGACUGGCAGGCUUUCUGUUCCGUCUGGGGAAGUGUUUCAGGAUUCUUUCCUUUCCUGGCAGAACUGGGUUGUGAACGUACCUGCGUAUUGUCUUGGCUUUUAAGAUAUGUGCAGUAUUGCCUCUGGAUUCUUCUUUUCUGGGUUCUGGUCAGCUCCAGAGUCGGUCUACCGCUUCUUCCUACGGAAUACCACCUCCCUUCUAUGAUCGUUGCCAAGGGUCUUUCGUUUCCGGGCGUCUUGACUGAUAUUUCCUUCCUGGGUUGCUCCAUCCUCCUCUCGCCGUAGUGUGUAGGCCUAAGACAGCUCUUCUGCCUUGUCUUGUCUUGGGAUAUAGUUCCAAUUCUGUCAAAGACACUAGGUGUGGGCUGAUUUUGUUUGUCUAGGACCACCUCUAGCUCUGUUUCACACUUGCACCUACUGCAGAGCACCACCCCAGCCGAGAUGGUCGCUCUUGGUAUCUGACUGGUCUCCCUUAUGAUUCUUCUGCCUCUGCUGCAACCAGCAUCUGUGAUAGGGUCGGUUUUCCUCUGUUCUGGCCAAUUUAAGUUGACCAUAUUGACUUGCGGUUGAGGAAAAGGAUCCGUCGUGACGGAUGGUGGUUUUUCUGCCAACUUCAACCUUCCUGCCGUUAUUCCUUCUUGUACUACGUCCCUGAAAACGACACAACUAUUGGUAGAAUGGUUCCAAGAGUUGUGCCACCUGCAGUACUGUCUGCCUUUGAGUUCUUCCGGCUUCGGUAUUCUGUGAGGCGUCUCUAUUACCUUCUGCAGUAGCAUUUCGUCGAACAAGGCAUUGACCUUGGUUAAGUCAAAAGAGUAAACCUUGUUUUGUGUUGGUUUGUUUGGAACGAAUCCUCCUGUGAAUGGUGGUGGCUUUUGGUCUUUGGGUGGCUUUGUGAGGGCUUUGCAACUGAUGGGAUGUUUCAGUUUUGCCAUUUCUGCCACUGAAACCUCUUUCUCCUCUGAUUCCUCUGUAUCUUCUUGCGACUCCACCUCGAUCAGGUGGACUGAAGAAGAAGGGGUUUUGUAGUAUGUACCUUUGGAGGAGUUCCUCCUUUGCUGCUCUUCCCUGAGUAGCUCUUCAUAUUUGGAUGCCUUAUCAGCCAGUUCUGCCAGAUCUCCGAACAAUAUCCCGUCGAACCUUUUCCUGAGGGAGAUUUUAAGGGCGGCUUGGGCCAUCUGGAUGAAGUGUCUUUCUUCCAUUGGGAUUCGGCACUUCAUCUUGAGCCUUCUGAACCUGGUUAUAAAAUCUUGCGCCGGUUCAUCUUCACUCUGCUUGAGGGCAGCUAGAUCACUGAUGGUGACUUCUGGCUGAAUCCUGUAAUAGUAGUCAUGGAAGACAUUUUCCAUCUGUUCCCAGGUUUGAACAGAGUUAGCUGGCAGGCUGGUGUACCAGGUAAAAGCUUGCCCAGAGAGAGAGUUGCCAAAAAGCCUUAAUUUCAGCAGAGGGUUGUUUUCUAUAGCUAUGCAUUGGACGGAGAACCUGCCUAUAUGUUCGACUGAGGAAGCAUGGGGGUCUUCCCCGUUGAACAAAGUGAAGUUUGGCACUUUGAAACCUGGAGACAACGGUAUUUGAUCGAUGUAGGCUGGGUAUGGCUUUCUGUAAGUAGGCCUUUCCCCUCUUCUAGCCUCGGGUUCCAUGAUCUCUCUGACCAUUCUUCGCAAUGCCCCUACGUCAUUUAAAGCAUUGACUGGGGGAAAAUUUUGUCCCUGUUCUGGCUGAACGUAAUCAAACCUGGGUUCUGCCCUGAGUGGUCUGGGUGGAACUUCCUCCCUGUGUUCUUCCUGCUCUUCGACUUCUGGAUGAUUCCUCCAGUUUGCCCCCUGUCUAUUCCUGUCAUGAUUAGCAAAAAGGUUGUUUCCCCCUCGGGCUCUCCUCCCUCUUGCAGGUGGAGGGAAUGGAUUAGGGUCCAUCCUUCUGGGUCUAUAUGGCAAUACUGCCGGUGGUUCAGGCAGAAGCGCCAAAGGUUGAUCAUGCGGGGCUGCAUGAUGUGAAUUGGGCUGAGGUCCUAGCUGGUUCUGAGCCAGUGUCAGGUUAUCUGGCUGGGCUGGGGCCUGAUGUUCUUGAUUAGGAAGGGCUCUCUCCCUCGGAUCAGCCUGAACUUCUGUGUGGCCUGGCACUCCAGCCAUCUGUGCAACUAGAGGAUUUUCCUGAUAUGGCCAUAUUAGUCCUGGCGGAGGGCCAUAAGGAAGAUCCAACUGCUGGAUUACAGGAUCUGGGUUUGGAUUUCUGGCCAUGGCGGAUUCUCGGUCCUUCCGGAACUGUCUGUUUACCUGCCAUUGCAUCAUGGCUGUCAUGUUAUCGAGAGUGUCCUGGCUCCUUUGUACUGUGAUCUCUUGUCGGAGUACUGACUCCUUUAUUUGACUCAUCCUUUUGGAGCCAGUCCUGGAACGUCUGCUUCCUGUACUGUCGUGGGCAGACUGCCUAGCGUCGCUUUCUUCCGAUUCGAGGCCUUCUCUGAGAACCAUCUUGUUUUUCUCCAUGUCUGGUGUGGGUUCUGACUAGAUCUUCCGGCUUUUGUAAAUCUGUGAAUGACUCUGUCAGAGUAUGUAUACUGAGAAGUCCCACUGGGCGUGCCAAAUUGUUCACCCGUUUUCGUGUUUAACUCCUGAUGUGGAAGGGCGAAGUUCCCCACUGGCUUGGAGACCACUUGUUGGUCGACAAGUCAGCUUUCUUUGGUGUGCGAGCGUGCCACUGCUAGCAAUGUAAAUUCUAGCAGACUUAUUUUUAGAGUGGAUAACUUGCGCCUCAAGUUACUGACUUCUAAAACAAACGAUUGUGAAUUUGGGUAAGGAAUAUCUCCCAAGUAAGUUCUUUUCUUGCCUCAGACUGGUGAGGACUUUCACAAUUUAUCUCAGUACCAAAAAAUGGUUGUUCUGCCCAGAAUAGAUAAUAAUAAAGUACUGUUUCAGGCAGAACUGCCUUUUACAAAAUUAAGAAGGGAGAAAUCAACUCUAGGAAGGCAAAAGGAUGGCUGGAAUCCCAUUUCUGCCUGGGUAGAAACUUCUGAUCCGGGCUGGACUGGGUAUGUCUAUGCUGGACUGUACUGUCAACAACUUUAGCUGCUUGGCUUCAGCUGUAAAUCGAUACCAAAGUUCGAUUUUGGCAGAGCUUCAAUCUACUUCAAGCCUUGGGAGGCUCUUGAGCGGGCAGAACUGUGACUUCUUCAGUCUGAAGGGACAAAAGUGGCUAUUCUCGAGGAUUUAGCAAGCUGGAACCAUGCUGUAAAAUUUGUUGAGGUUUUCAUAGUUGUGAAAACUCAAACUAUGUUUGUCUUGGCUUUUGCUGAACCAAAUUUGUAACGAGGGAUCUCGUUCUAGGAAAUUUGUUUUCUAAGUCUGAACCUUGGAAUUCUGAUUUAAGGUUGGUUUCUCUUGGAAUUUAAGUGAGCUCUUGGCUGUUUUUCUUGCUGUUGUUUUUUUGGUUGAUGAGUUGAGUGUCCUUUCUUUCUUGCCUGCUUCUGUUUUUAUAAGAGACCCUCCUUUUGAAGGUGGUUUUAAAUUUUAAUAAUGGGCGGCAAAAGAUUUCUCAAAACGUAAAGCAGGAAAUAUUUUUAUCAAUUAUGGCAGAUAGACUCCCAUUGGUCACUUCCUAUAGCGAUCCCUUCCCUGGUUUCCUGGCUGACGGUUUUUCUAUUUUAAUGCCACCGUCUGUGUGAGCUGAUCCUAUGGCGGUUUUGAUUUUUCUUUUGUAUUUUCUGAACAACUCCCUGUUUCUUGCUCUUGAAAACGUGAUUUGCGAAAUCUUUUUAGAAGAUGGUGUGUUGCUUUGGAGCAAAAAGUCUCUGAUCAUAGACGCCCCUUUGAUUUUUCUUUCUCGGCAGUGUUUUCAGAAACGUCCCUUCUCACAUAAAAACUCUAGUUGGAAUUGCUGACUUUCCAGAGAGGUGAGGUAGCCACGUGAAUGUGUCUUUAGUCUCUUGGGCUUGAGUUUAAACAAUAUUUUGUGGGCUGAUCUUCAAAGGCCCAAUAUGACAGCUUUCUACGUUUUGGGUUUUUUGGGACUGGAUAAGUAUUUCACCACGGGCCUGUUUCUGGAUCUCUUUGGUGUGUCAAAUUUAGGCCCAAACACAACCUAUAUGCCCCCAUUCCGAGGAUCUGGUUAAUCACAAAAGGACCUUCCCACGUAGGUGACCAUUUUCCAUAUCCAGCUAUGUGCGCUCCAGCGGCAAAAUUGCCUUCCAGACUAUUUCUCCUUCUUCAAAACUCUUAUCUCUGACUCUUUUGUUGUAUGCCUUUGACACAGCCUGUUUUCCUGCUAAGAGUUUGUUGAGGGUGUCAAUCCUGCUUGCAUCCAAUUCUUCUAAUUCAAGUAGCAUGGCUUGAGAGUAAUCUUCUCCUGUGAGAUCGUGCUGGUGAGCAAUUCUAAGAGACUGGACUGCUAUCUCCAUGGGCAGAAUUGCAUCAUGACCGUAGGUCAGAGCAUAGGGAGUCAUGCCAGUUGCUUCCCUUUUUGAAGUUCUGUAUGCCCACAAAGUUUCUGACAACUUCUCAUGCCACUGCUUCGGAUUCUUCUCCAGCAUCUUUCUGAUGAUAUUGAUAAUCACCUUGUUACUUGAUUCUGCCUGUCCAUUAGCUUGAGCAUAAUAGGGGGUAGAUUGAAGCAGUUUGAACUUGAAUGUUUCUGCCAUAUCUAGCAUAUCCCUAGACAUGAAAGAAGAACCCCUAUCAGUUGUGAUCGAUUCUGGAAUGCCGAAUCUCUGUAUGAUCUGCUCUUCUAUAAAGGUGAUGAUCUCUUGAGAAGUUGUGGUUUUGAUUGGCUUGGCUUCUACCCAUUUGGUGAAAUAGUCUGUAGCAACAAUGAUAAAACAAUGCUGCUGGCUGCUGGCUGGAUAGAUUUUGCCAAUGAGAUCCAUUGCCCAUCCCCUAAAAGGCCAUGGUUUCACCACUGGAUUCAUGGGAACUGAAGGAGCCCGCUGGAUUGGGCCGUGUCUUUGACAAGCUUCACAUCCCUUGGAAUAGUUGAUGCAAUCCUUCAACAUGGUUGGCCAGAAGUAGCCAUACCUUCUAAUUAACCAGCACAUCUUUCUUCCUCCUUGGUGAGCCCCACAGACCCCUUCAUGGGUUUCUCCCAUGACUUUCAUAUAUUCUGUCUUUCCGAGGCACCUUAAUAGCACCUCAUCCUCACUUUUUCGGACCAAAUCUUCAUUCCACAUGAGAUAGUUUGUAGCCAUGAUUCUGACUCUUUUCUCAGAGGGUAGAGUGGGAUACUGCAAGUAAGUCAUGAUCGGCUCCCUCCAAUCGUCUUUAGUGAUCAAGGCAGAAUUGACUUCUAUCUCCAUUCCUCUAGUCAGAACUGACGGUAGACUUUUCCUUCCUAUCUUGAUGAUCCUCUGGACGCAGUCUUCAAGCAUUUGUAUGCCUGAUGCUACCUGAGCCAGUUCAUUGGCUGCGAAGUUUUCUUCCCUUGGGAUGUGUUCCCAAGUAGCUUCUCUAAAUUCUGUUAGCAGAUUUCUAGCUGCUACCAGAUAUACAGCCAGAGAAGGAUUUAGACACUUGUAUUCUCCAGCAAUCUGUUUUAGGACAAGCAUGGAAUCUCCCAAGAUUUCCACGGAUUGAAUUCCCAAUUCUACCAACAUCUCGAGCCCUAUAAUCAAAGCUUCAUACUCGGCCCUGUUGUUGGUGCAUUGGAAAUCUAACUGGAAGGAAUAGCAAUGUCUGACCCCUAAGGGUUCUUCUAGCACAAUCCCUGCUCCUGAAGCCUUGUCUGUCUUUGUUCCAUCAAAAUAUAAUUUCCACGGUAUGAGAUGAAUCGAGUAGACUGGAUGGUUAAGGCAAACGUGAGCUCUAGUUAGCAGAUCUGCAUUUGCUAUGUCCAAAGAAUCCAUGUUUUCAAUUUCCUCUCCCGGGUGUUCUGCCAAGAAAUCUGCCACAGCUUGUCCUUUGACAGCUUUCUGGGGAACAUACCUGAGGGUGAAUUCUGUCAAAGCCAAAGUCCAUUUCCCAAUUCUGCCCCUCAGCAUUGGUUUUGUUAGCAUGUAUUUGAUUAGGUCUGUUUUGGCAAUGAUGUAAAUAGUAUGUGGCAGCAUGUAGUGCCUGAGCUUUACAGCAGUGAAAUAUAAGGCCAGGCAAAGCCUUUCUAUCGCGGAAUACCUUCUUUCCACUUCUGUCAAUGUUCUGCUUAGAUAGUAGACUGCCUGUUCUUUCCCUUCUUUGUUAUCUUGAGCUAGCAGACUUCCAAUGGAUACCUCUGAUGCAGAUACAUAAAGCUUGAGGGGUCUGCCCCUUUUUGGUGGGGACAGAACUGGCGGAUUUGAGAGGUAAUGCUUUAUUUCCUGGAAAGCCUGUUGGUGCUGUUCUUCCCAUUUGAAUGUCUAUUCCUGCUUCAGUCUUAACAGGGAAGAAAAGGGUUGGAUUUUUCCUGCAGAAUUGGAUAUGAAUCUCCUUAGAAAAUUGAUUUUUCCUAAGAGACUUUGAAGUUCUUUCUUGUUCCGAGGUGGUAGAGCUUCUAUGAUGGAUUUUGCUUUAUUUCUGUCAACCUCUAUACCUCUCUGGUGGACCAAGAAUCCUAAGAAAUUUCCUGCUUGGACUCCAAAAACGCAUUUUUUGGGGUUCAUUUUUAGUUUGUGCUGCCUCAUUCUUAGGAACGCCUUUCUUAAGCCUGCCACGUGAUUUCCUUCUUCAGGGGAUUUAAUCACCACGUCAUCUAUGUAUACUUCCAAGGAAUGUCCUAUCAUAUCAUGAAAAAUAGAAUUCAUUGCCCUUUGGUAGGUGGCUCCCGCAUUUCUCAAACCGAAAGGCAUUACAGUAUAUUGGAAAGCACCUAUAUGUCCUGGACACAUAAAGGCUGUCUUGUGGAUGUCCUGUUCUGCCAUCAUAAUCUGGUUAUAACCUGCAUUGCCGUCCAUGAAAGAUAGCAUCUGGUUGUGAGCGGCUCCAUCCACUAGCAUGUCUGCCAUUGGCAUAGGGUAUUCGUCCUUGGGAGAUGCUUCAUUCAGAUUUCUGUAAUCCACACAAAUUCUAACUGCCCCUGUUUUUCUUUUGAGAACAGGUACAAUAUUUUUUAACCAAUCUGCAUAGAUGGCUGGCCUGAUGAAUCCUGCUUUGAGCAGCCUUUCUAUCUCUUCUUUGACCUUCAGUUCUGUGUCCAUAGACAUUCUUCUUCUGGCCUGUUUAACUGGAAGGUAGCCAUCUUUGAUUGGCAGUUUGUGCUCUACUAACUGCCUGUCCAGCCCUGGCAUCUCGUGGUAAUGCCAAGCAAAACAGUCUCUGAACUCCUGCAAAAGUGUCAUGAGUUCAGACUUGAGUGGUUCCUUCAAAAGUGUGCUGAUGAAAGUAGGCCUUGGAUCUUCUUCUGUCCCUAAGUUUACUUCUUGCAGAGGGUCCUCCACUUCUGGCGGGGAGUCGUCUAGUGCUGCUGGUGCAAAAUCUAAUACUUCUUCCUGUAAAAUUUCCUCCUCUUGUUCUUUUGUGCUUUCAUGGGUGAAUUCUGCCAUAUUGAUGGCUGGAUUCUGCAUGAAAAGCCCCCUUGCUCCCCAGUAUAUCAACAAUCUUUUUGUGAUGGAUCGGAUUGUUGCAGCUCGAUCCUUGUCUAGUUGAUUGGGACUAAACAUCAAAAUUCUGGAAGUUCAGCGCAGAAAGGUCUAUUCCAAUCCUCUAGAGAACUGGCUAAACCUUCUUCAAUGAGUCUUUGGGCCGUAACACCAUGUGGGCGGCCGUUCUGAUUGACUCCAAGAAAAGUGAAAGGACCGAGGUCAUCAUGAUAAUACCUUGCUUCAAAGCACAUGGCAGAGGGUAGGAAUGGCCGUGGAUCAGCCUCUAUAAUCUCCAUGCAGCCUUCUUCAUUCCAUAGUGCUAACUGUUGGUGGAGGGUGGAAGGAACACAAAGGCUCUGGUGGAUCCAAUCCCUACCAAGCAGUGCAUUGUAGGUGGUGGAAGUAGUGUCUAUAACAAAGAAUGCUAUUUUCAAUUCUUUACUUCCGACUAUGACAUCCACGUCCAAGAUGCCAUAUAUUUUGGUGAUGCCCCCAGCGAAGUUGGUGACGGUCAAUCGUGUUGGAAUCAGAUCUUUCUCUGUCCUGCCCAAUUUGGUCAGCAUUCUGUGGGGUAAUAGAUUAAUGGCUGCUCCUCCAUCUACCAUGAUCUUGGAAAUAGGAAUACCCCCAAGAUUUGCCGUUAUAAACAAAGGUCUGAGGUGAUUUGCCAUUUCUCUGGUUGGCUUGGCGAACCAAGGUUGCUCUGUAGCUGGUUUAUCGGCUGUUCUGCCUGUCCUGGAGAUGUCUGCUUGUGGUUCUGGUGGCUCCUCUGCUUCUGCCAAUCUACAUUCAAAGCUUUCCUGAGAGAAAACAUCUCCUUCCAGAGUGCUUUCUUGUCCUUCGGUAGCCCUGAAUUUACCUGGUAGGAUAAAUACCAUGUUAAUUCCCAGAUCACCCUGUAGGAGGUCUUCUAAUUCUGCGCCAAAAGCUUCUGUCUCUGGGUCCAAUUCUUCACCAAAUUCCAUUAAUUCUUCCCCGUAUUCUUCCGUCCAGUCAUCCUGUUCUGCUACCUCGGGGGGCUCUUUCUGGUCAUCUGCAGAAGGUUCAUAGUCCAAUUGCUCUUCUUCCUCUAUGUAGUCGUCUUCUCCUUGUAACGGGGUAGACCCGGAUAUCUCUGGUAUCUGCUCGGUGUCAGGACAGCUACUGGACGAUGAGGCUAUAUGGGCAAGAGAUCUGGCUGGUGGUUCUGUUUUCAGCAAUUCCCCUGACUGGCAAGCUUUCUGUUCUGUCUGGGGAAGUGAUUCAGGAUUUUUUCCUUUCCUGGCAGAACUGGGUUGUGAACGUACCUGCGUAUUAUCCUGGCUCUUAAGAUAUGUGCAGUAUUGCCUCUGGAUUCUUCUUUUCUGAGUUCUGGUCAGCUCCAGAGUUGGCCUACCAUUUCUUCCUACGGAAUACCAUCUCCCUUCUAUGAUCGUCGCCAAGGGUUUUUCGUUUCCGGGUGUCUUGACUGGUAUUUCCUUUCUGGGUUGCUCCAUCCUCCUCUCGCUGUACUGUGUAGGCUUAAGACAACUCUUCUGCCUUGUUUUGUCUUGGGAUGAGGUUCCAAUCCUGUCAAAGACACUAGGUGUGGGCUGAUUUUGUCUGUCUAGAACCACCUCUAGCUCUGUUUCACAUUUGCACCUACUGCAAAGCACUAUCCCAGCUGAGAUGGUCGCUCUUGGUAUUUGACUGGUCUCUCUUAUGAUUCUUCUGCCUCUGCUGCAGCCAGCAUCUGUGAUUGGCUGGGUUUUCCUCUGUUCUAGCCAAUUUAAGUUGACCAUAUUGACUUGAGGUUGAGGAAAAGGAUCCGUUAUGACCGAUGGUGGUUUUUCUGCCAGUUUAAGCCUUCCUGCCGUUAUCCCUUCUUGUAUCACGUCCCUGAAAACAACACAACUAUUGGUAGAAUGAUUCCAAGAGUUGUGCCACCUGCAGUACUGUCUGCCCUUGAGUUCUUCCGGUUUUGGUAUUCUGUGAGGCGUCUCUAUUGCCUUCUGCAGUAGCAUUUCGUCGAACAGGGCAUCGACCUUGGUUAAGUCAAAAGAGUAAACCUUGUUUUGUGUUGGUUUAUUUGGAACGAAUCCUCCUAUGAAUGGUGGCGGCUUUUGGUCUUUAGGUGGCUUUGUGAGGGCUUUGCAACUAAUGGGAUGUUUUAGUUUUUCCAUUUCUGCCACUGAAACCUCUUUCUCCUCUGAUUCUUCCGCAUCUUCUUGUGAUUCCACCUCGAUCAGGUGGACUGAAGAAGAAGGGGUUUUAUAGUAUGUACCUUUGGAGGAGUUCCUCCUUUGCUGUUCUUCCCUGAGUAACUUCUCAUAUUUGGAUGCCUUAUCGGCCAGUUCUGUCAGAUCUCCGAACAAUAUCCCGUCGAACCGUUUCCUGAGAGAGAUUUUAAGGGCGGCCUGGGCCAUCUGGAUGAAGUGUCUUUCUUCCAUAGGGAUUCGGCACUUCAUCUUGAGCUUUCUGAACCUGGUUAUGAAAUCUUGUGCCGGUUCAUCUUCACUCUGCUUGAGGGCGGCUAGAUCACUGAUGGUGACUUCCGGCUGAAUCCUGUAGUAGUAGUCGUGAAAGACAUUUUCCAUCUGUUCCCAGGUUUGAACAGAGUUAGCUGGCAGGCUGGUGUACCAGGUAAAAGCUUGUCCAGAGAGAGAGUUGCCGAAAAGCCUUAAUUUCAGCAGAGGGUUAUUCUCUAUAGCUAUGCAUUGGACGGAGAACCUGCCUAUAUGUUCAACUGAAGAAGCAUGGGGGUCUUCCCCAUUGAACAAAGUGAAAUUUGGCACUUUGAAACCUGGAGACAGCGGUAUUUGAUCAAUAUAGGCUGGGUAUGGCUUCCUGUAAGUAGGCCUUUCUCCUCUCCUAGCCUCGGGUUCCAUGAUCUCUCUGAUCAUUCUUUGUAAUGCCCCUAUGUUAUUCAAAGCAUUGACUGGGGGAAGAUUUUGUCCCUGUUCUGGCUGAACGUAAUCAAAUCUGGGCUCUGCUCUGUGUGGUCUGGGUGGAAGUCCUUCCCUGUGUUCUUCCUGCUCUUCGACUUCUGGAUGAUUCCUCCAAUUUGCCCCUGGUCUAUUCCUGUCAUGAUUAGCAAAGAGGUUGUUCCCUCCUCGGCCUCUCCUCCCUCUUGCAAGUGGAGGGAAUGGAUUAGGGUCCAUCCUUCUGGGUCUAUAUGGCAAUACUGCCGGUGGCUCAGGCAGAAGUGCCAAAGGUUGAUCAAGCGGGGCCACAUGAUAUGGAAUGGGUUGAGGUUCUGGCUGGUUCUGAGCCAGUGCCGGGUUGUCUGGUUGGGCUGGGGCCUCAUACUCUUGAUUAGGAAAGGCUCUUUCCCUCGGACCAGCCUGAAUUUCUCUGUGGUCUGGCACUCCAGCCAUCUGUGCAACUAGGGGAUUUUCCUGGUAUGGCCAUAUUAGUCCUGGCGGAGGGCCAUAAGGGAGAUCCAACUGCUGGAUUACAGGAUCUGGGUUUGGGUUUCUGGCCAUGGCGGAUUCUCGGUCCUUCCGGAAUUGUCUGUUCACCUACCAUUGCAUCAUGGCUGUCAUGUUAUUGAGAGUAUCCUGGCUCCUUUGUACUGUGAUCUCUUGUCGGAGUACUGACUCCUGCACUUGAUCCAUCCUUUUGGAGCCAAUCCUGGAACGUCUACUUCCUGUACUGCCGUGGGCAGAAUGCCUAGCAUCGCUUUCUUCUGACUCGAGGCCCUCCCUGAGGACCAUCUUGUUUUUCUCCAUAUCUGGUGUGGGUUCUGACUAGAUCUUCCGAUAUUUGUAAAUCUGUGAAUGAUUCCGUCAGAAUAUGUAUACUGAGAAGUCCCACCGGGCGUGCCAAAUUGUUCACCCGUGUUCGUGUUUAACUCCUGAUGUGGAAGGGCGAAGUUCCCCACUGGCUUGAAGACCACUUGCUGGUCGACAAGUCAGCUUUCUUUGGUGUGUGAGCGUGCCACUGCUAGCAAUGUAGAUUCUAGCAGACUUAUUUUGAAAGUGGAUAACUUGCGCCUCAAGUUACUGGCUUCUAAAACAAAACGAUUGUGAAUUUGGGUGAGGAAUAUCUCCCAAGUAAGUUCUUUUCUUGCCUCAGACUGGUGAGGACUUUCAUAAUUUAUCUCAGUAUCAAAUGGUUGUUCUGGCCAGAAUGGAUAAUAAUAAAGUACUAUUUUCAGGCAGAACUCCCUUUUACAAAAUUAAGCAGGGAGAAACCGACUCUAGAAAGGCAAAAAGAUGGCUGAAACUCCAUUUCUGCCUGGGUGGAAACUUCUAAUCCGGGCUGGACUGGGCAUGUCUACGCUGGACUGUACUGUCGACAACUUUAGCUGCUUGGCUUCAGCUGUAAAUCGAUACCAAAGUUCAAUUUUGGCAGAGCUUCAAUCUACUUCAAGCCUUGGGAGACUUUUGAGCGGGCAGAACUGCGACUUCUUCAGUUUGAAGGGACAGAAGUGGCUAUUCGUAUUCAGCAAGCUGGAACUAUGCUAUAAAAUUUGUUGAGGUUUUCAUAUUUGUGAAAACUCAAACUGUGUUUGUCUUGGCUGUUGCUAAACCAAACUUGUAACGAGAGGGAUCUCACUUUCAGAGGACUUAUUUUCUAAGUCUGAACUUCGGAAUUCUGAUCUAAAGCUGGUUUUCUUUGGAUCCAAGUGAGCUUUUUCUUGUUUGUUUUUUUUGAUUGAUUGAUGCAUUGAGUGUCCUUUGUUCCUUUGCCUACUUUCGUUUUUAUAAGAGACCCUCCUGGGGAGGUGAUUUUUAAUCCUAAAUAAUGGGCGGCAAAAAGAUCUCUUAUAAUAUAAAGUAAGAAGGAUUUCUUAUCAAUCAAGACAGAUAGGUUCUGAGCAGUCACCUCCUAAAGCAGUCCCUUCCCUGGUUUCCUGGGUGGCAGUUUCUAAUUCAAACCACCGCCACCAUCUGUGUAGGCUUUUUAUGGCGGUUUGGCUUUUUCUUUUAUAUUUUCUGAAUGGUUCCCUAUUUCCCGUUCUAAUUUAGAAAGCGUGAUCCGUGAAUCCCUGGGGGGGUGGUGCAUCGAUUUGGAGCAAAAUCUUGAACAUAGAUGGGUUUUUUGAUCUUCAAUUGGCAGUGUUUCAGAGACGUCCCUUUCAUAUUUUUAAAUUUCAGUCGAUAUUGCUGACUUUUCUAAAGCUGAGGCAAUCACGUGGGUGUGUUUUUGAUCCCUUGGGUCUGAACCUAAUCAAUAAUUCAUGGGCUGAUCUUUUGAAUCCCAUCUUGUCAGUUUCCUCUUUGGGCCUUUCUUUGGGCUGAAGCUUUGUUUUCAACAUUCUUGGUGUGAAGCCCAAUCUGUCUGGAUCCUAUUUUGUUUUUCUCAAGUUUUCGGGCUGGGCAGGCAAUUUCAUCAUGGGCUUGUCUCUUGAUUUUGGGUGUGCCGAAUUUUGGGCCCAAACAACUAUAUUAUGCAUGAUAUUAUUAUUUGAUUAUUAUUGAUAUUGGGUGUUUAAGUGUUGUUAAUUAUCAUCAUAUUAUUUUAUUCAUAUUGACAUGAUCAUAUGUUAUCGGUGAUGGCUGGAAUUCUUGGGUUGAUAAAGAAAGUAAGAAAAAGGGGGUAAUGGGAAGGAUCUUUUGUGUAGUUGAGUCUAACUCUUGGCAGGUACCAGGUCUCAAGGAUCCCGCAGUGCACAUGGUUUUCAUUGGGUGAUUCGGGACUAGCGACAGAGAGUUAGACAAGAUGACUAACGAAAUGGGAAUUAUGAGAAGAUUGAAAUGGGUGUUUGUUCAUAUAAAUGGGCAUUUGGGGCCAAGUGGUAUAAGCAUGGUAUGGGACGUGCAGGUCUGCUUGUGCAGUCAUAUGAAUUAACAGGAGUAGAUGAAGAGCAUUCAUUCAUGCAUUAUUAUUAAUAAUGUGAUAUUUAGCUGUGUGAUUACAUGUCACUUAAUUUAGUUAAAUCAAUCUACUGUGGUGAGGUCUCAUGUCCCUACUGAGUGGUGGUUUCUCAUCCCUCACCCUGUUUAAUUUUUCAGAUGAAUUAGUGGGCAUGACAAGGACUAAAUCAGUUGAGGCUGAACUAGAUGAGAGUGAUAGAGCUUUAUUUUUUUUAAUUGUAAAGUUUUAAGAUUUUGGGAGCUAUUUUUAUAAGAAAAGUUUAUUUUAUGUUUCGGCUUCUUUUUAUUCUAUUUUACCUUUUAUUUUCUCAUGCACUGGGCACGGGGUUUCCACUGACCCACGGGUCCGGGGCGUGACAAGGGUUAAUCGUUUUAUUCGUUCUUGGACUUAGACCCGGUUUGCAUUUGAGUACCUCAAUUUCCAAAAUCGUUCUCAUAUUCCUUUAACUUCACUUUUGUUAGGACAAAUGGUCCAGCCAUUAAUUUUGUUAACUUUUUCUGUUAAAUGCAGGGGCAAAAUGGUAUUUUUAUAUUAAAACCAAAAGAAUAAAUAAAUAAUCACAUCUUUAAAAUAACAAUAAAAUCAAAUCAAAUAAAAAACCAACCAAAAAAAAAUCGAGUUUGGGAAGAGUAGAAAUCGGGAUAGAGGGGGAGAGAGAGAGUUUAAUUUUAAUUUUUUAUUCAUAUUUUAAUCAAUUUAAUACAAAAUGAGGAGAACUACCCCCCCUCUUCUUCUCUUUUUAUUCACUACAUGCCAUGUAAAGAGAAGAACUAAAUGAGGUUAGGUUAUUAAAAUUGGGUGAGCUAGGAUUCUAUUUUUUUUGGCUGGAAAAAAGAAGCCACCUGGGUUGCCAAACUAAAGGUACAUCCGUGGGUAAGCUAGGAUUUUAUUUUUUUUUGGCUUGAAAAAAGAAGCCACCUGGGCUAUAGCCCAGGUUUGCCAAACUAAAGGAAGGUCUGUGGGUGGGCUAGGAUUUUAUUUUUUUGGCUGGAAAAAAGAAGUAGGUUUGCCAAACUAAAGAUCCGUCUCUGUUUCCACUUCAACCCAUUUACAAUCAAACUAUUUUAUGACUAAAACACUUCACAUUAAUGAUAAUUUUAUUAAACUAAAACACAGUUUUAUGAGUCUACUUAUGGAGAAAAACUUAGUUGCAAUGAGAUAACACUAUUUUGCUAUCCUUAUUUCAUAAAAGUCUUUCUCCUACUUAUGACUAUGGUUGCAGCCUGCAAUAUUCUUAAAAUAAUAAAAAAAUAAAAAAAAUAAAAAAAGUAGCUAUUCUGAAGGACAUUACCUCACUUUUGCUGUAUAAAUACUCUGCAUUUGCAAGCACUGCAAUGCACACACAAAAGCUAAGAUGGAUUCCAGAGAAGUAGCAACUAAGCCACACGCUGUUUGCAUUCCAUUCCCUUAUCAAAGCCAUAUAAAGGCAAUGCUUAAAUUUGCAAAGCUCCUCCACCACAGAGGUUUUCAUAUAACCUUUGUUAACACAGAGUUCAAUCACAAGCGCUUUCUUAAAUCUCAAGGACCCAAUUCCCUUGUUGGCUUGCCUGAUUUUCAAUUCGAUGCCUUCCCGGAUAGCCUUCCGGAUUCAGAUGAAGAUGCCACACCAGAUGCCACCUUGCUUUGUGAAUCCAUCAGAAAAAAAAAAUUCUUGGCUCCCUUUCAUGCCCUCCUUGCAAAACUCAACAAUGAUGCCAUAUCAACAUCCCACAAUCCUCCUGUGACUUGCAUAGUUUCAGAUGGUUUCAUGUCCGCGUUCACAAUCACAGCUGCUGAAGAAAUCGGAGUCCCUAUAGCGCUGUUCUACACUAUAGCUGCCUGCAGCUUCAUGGGAUUUAAACAACUUCGCGCUGUGGUCGAAAAAGGACUUUUUCCACUCAAAGGUGAAUAACUACGAAUUAAAAGCAAUUGUUGUUUCUAAACAUGCAAAUGAAAUGUUUCUUCAAUUGAAUUUCAUUUGUCUAUUGCAGAUGAGAGCUGUUUCAAAAAUGGCUAUCUGGACACCGUAAUAGAUUGGAUCCCAGGAAUGAGAGAUAUCCGUUUAAGGGAUCUCCCGACCUUCGCGCGAAACACAAAUCUGGAUGACACCGGAUUUAACUUCAUCAUGGAAGAAACCGAAAGAGCUCAUGAAGCUUCAGCAGUUGUUCUUCAUACUUUUCAUGCCUUGGAGACAGAUGUUUUGGAAGCUCUCUCAUCUAUGCUUCCCCAUGUGUACACCGUUGGCCCUCUUCAAUUGCAUCUCAAUCAGAUACCAGAGCACCCUUUGAAAAUGGGAUACAGUCCAUGGAAAGAAGAAACUGAAUGCCUCGAGUGGCUAAACACCAAGGCACCAAACUCAGUUGUCUAUGUGAAUUUCGGCAGUGUAGCAGUCGUGACACCAGAACAGCUUGUGGAGUUUGGGUGGGGACUUGCAAAUAGCAAGCUUCCAUUCUUUUGGGUAAUUAGACCUGAUCUAGUUGUUGGAGAAUCAGCUAUUUUGCCGCCUGAGUUUGUGGCUGAAACUAAGGAAAGAAGUCUAAUAGCUGGGUGGUGCCCACAAGAGCAAGUCCUCAACCACCCCUCAGUUGGAGGAUUUUUAAUGCACAGCGGUUGGAAUUCAACAGUUGAGAGCCUUACUGCAGGAGUUCCUAUGCUCUGUUGGCCAUUCUUCGGGGACCAGCAAAUGGACUGUCGCUAUACUUGCAAUGAAUGGGGAAUUGGCAUGGAGAUUAGUGAUGAUGCGAAGAGGGAAGAGGUAGAGAAGCUUAUCAAAGAGUUAAUGGAGGGAGAGAAGGGUAAGAAGAUGAAAAAUAAGGUCAUGGAGUGGAAGAAACUUGCAGAAGAAGCUACUGGUCCACAUGGUUCUUCAUCCACAAACUUAGACAAUUUAGUGAAUCAAGUGCUAUUGAGAAAAAGUUAAGAUGUUUCCAUAAGAAUAUUGAUGUUAUUAAUUAUCAUUUCCAUUGCCAUUGUCUCAAAUAAUCAACUAUCUGGCAAUAUAUAUGUACUACUGGUCUGUAACCAUGAUGCGUACUAUAUCUAGAAUUUUAUUCUGAUUAAGGUUUCACUACGCUUCAGGCCUUUAACUCUAAAAUCUUAUUGGAGAAUCGGCUAAUAUUUAAUUAUUUUUUAUACGUAUUUCCUUUUUACUGUGUUCUAUACAUAUUUAAUUGGAUUACUACUCUCGAGGAAGAUUAUCCUUAAGUAUUAUAUUCAACAAAUUACUAUUCAUGUGUCAGUUGUUUUACAUUUAUUGUAUUAAAUCAAUACUCACCAAUUCUUUAAGGUGUGAGAUAAUUAGUCACAAAUAAUGGUGACUAGUAACCAAAGUCAUUGACCACCCAUUCAAAUGUCACCAAAACUAUUGUGUUGCUAUACAAAUAUGACUAAUGCUUUCUAUUUUGUCGCCGGAUCAAGGCCGUGAAGUUCCGGGUUAAACCGUGAGUUUCUGAAGCCGAUUCUGACCACUUGCCGUCCGAAUUGGACUUGGGUGUUUGAAUAAAAUGUUCCACUCGUCGAGUAGAACCUGUAGCCGGGAGGGGUGGCUUGUAGUUUGGAGAUUUUCCGGUGAAGCUUUAUCGCUUUGGACACCCGCGCGUGUGGCGGUACGUGGGCACUAUAGCAGAGGGUCAUUAUUGUCCCAAUGCGAUCUCCUGGUUGUCACGAGUACGUAGGAAUUCGCGGAUCUCAAUUCGGAUGUCGUUUGACUAUCGAACGGAUUUUCGCAUAGUGUGCGUUAUCCGGGUUCGAUAGGUUCUGACCGUUGGAUCAUUUCCCAAUUAAAUUAUGUUGUUCUAGGUAUUCCUAGGAUCGUGUAGGACUUCGCAGAUCGUGAAUCGGAGCCCGGAUGUUCCAAUUCAAUAACUUAAAGUUUGAGUUUUAUAUUAACCGUCUGAUCGUGCGAUCGUAAGCGAUCUAACCGUCUGUUUCAGACCAAACUUGCGAGACGGGUAUCUUAGACCUUGUGGAACCUUUAGGAACUUACGGAUUGUAAAACGGAGGUCGUGGGUCCCGUGGACCCGGUUGACCUGAAUUGGGAAGUUUGACCGCCGGUUGACCGAGUGUCUCCCGAAGUUGUUCCAUCGUCCAAAUUGAGUAGUUGGACCUUAGAAUGUCUCAUUCCUAGUACACUUACUAGAAACCUGGGAAAUUAGGAUAUUUAAUUCAAAGUACUCGUUCGAAACGCUUCGUAUUAAUCUUGUGUACGUAUUCUGAAUUAGGUACUUCGACCACGCAUACGCAGCAGGCGGGACCCUCUCAGGGUCAAGCAGCGUGGGACUACUUGUGAGUGAACUUUGUUUUCAAAUCUUAUACAUGUUUUUAUUGAUGAAAGAUUUAUGCAUAAUGUUUUUAAUAAUUUAUUGAAUAUAUUAUAUUCAUGGGUUGAAUUUGAUGUUUGUAUAGCGCUUUGUCAAUAUAUUGUGGGUUUGGCAUUGUUGGGUAUUGAAAGCAUAUUUUAUAUGGAUUUUGGGAAAUAUUAUGCAUGAUGUUUUAAACGGUAUUUUGGAUAUAUUAUUUAUGAAAUUGUUGAAAGUGAUAUUUUUAUGAGGCAUUGAAAAUAUAUUUUGGGUUUUGACAUAUUUGAGUAUCUUGAGUAUGAAUAUAUGGAUUUUGAGGAUUUCUAUAUAUAUUUGGCUAUGUGUGAGGUACUUGGGUUGUUGAGAUGAGAUUGUGGAAAGUGGUGAGUAUAGAAUGUCAGUUUGGUGUGCUAUAAGCACUACCCUAUGUACCUCCCCUGAUUUGGAACUUGGAUAUGGAGACUUGAGAUACUUGGAAUUGUCGGAACCCGGGGCAUCCUUGACGGGAUGUUGCUGUAGACCCUUGAUUGGGUAGUCUGCGCUCGUAGGACUGAUCACAGACGUAUGAGUUUUGAGGUUAUCGACGGUACGUGCUGGCUGAGAGUUGGUCCCCCAGUUGGACGGCUCGUUCCCUAGUCACAUAGUGGAUUGAGGACUUUUCAUGAGGACUCUGCCAGGGUGACUAGUCAAACAAUCCCCCGGUUGGAUUGUUUCCCCGGUACAACUAGGUGAUGGUCAUAUUUAUAAUAUAUAUAUCUCUUAUAUGAUAUAUUUAUAUAUAUAUCUAUUCAUUCAUUUUUGUUUCUCGGUGUGGAUACUUCCUUGCCGGUCGUACCAAUGGGUACGCUUUCGAGAGUUUAGUUGUGAGAUUUAUAAGUUUUGGAUGGUGGGUUUUGUAAAGCGUUCUUUAUGGAUUUCGAACUUCGUAUCUGGUAUUGAUUUGUUUUGAUAUAUAUAUUAUAUAUAUAUAUAUAUAUUUGAGUAUGAUGGUUUUGAGAUGCAUGGGAUUUCUUGCAUGGUUUUCUAAACGGUGGGGUUAUAUUACGUUGGUUUACACUGAACUGAAUUUAUUUUUGUCCACUCACAAUUUUCUAUUUUGCGCCCCCCAGCCAGUAGUUGACUGAGCUCCGCAGCAGAGCCGGAUCAUGAGCUUCCGAGCCUUGAGUCUUCGUAGGACUCUUUCUUCAUGUUUUUCCCUUUGAACUCUGUCUUAUUGAAAUUGAAGUUCUUAGCCAUGCUCUGUUAUCGCCCCUGUUAGGGUUUGAUUUGUGAGGCCGGAGGCCAUUUGGUUGUAAACUGUUUAUUCGCUUUAAAGCAUGCUGCUGGUUGGGAUUAUUCUAUGUUUAUGCAGGUUGAAUUUUUGUUGGGUUUGUUCAAUUCACAGGGGAGACUUUGCCAAAAUUUUGGUAGAGAGUAUGGGUUUUUAGUAAGUGGACCCGGCAUCGGGAUGAUGUCGGAACAAAGACGAGAUUCGCCCUUGUUUCCGGGAAUUACGUAUAUAAUACAACUUCAAUAUUUAUAUGUAUAUUAUUUCAUUAAAUAUUUAUAUAUACAUAUGUUCUUUUGAAUAAAAGGGGUUAAAUUAUAUAUUUGUCCAUUAUUUCUUGAGAUGCCAUUAGAUGGUUAUUGGAUGCUUUCUAUACAUAUAUAUUAAUAACAUGGAUUAAGAGUUUAGACGUGGCAUCCUUACAUUGUUUUCUUGGAGAGAAAGACUAUUUCUCUCUUAUCUUAAUUAGGAUGCCGGAUGUGGCUUUUUCCAUUAAAUUAGUUGAUGCAUUACCAUCGCUAACUUACGCACGUUGUUAAUAACGUGUUGUCAUAGUAUAUUUUUAUUAUAGUGGUCACAGCCUUUGGAAAUAAAUCUCCUAGCGUUGACACAUAGCAACUUAUAAAAUAGAGUGGCAACCAAGUUAUCUUUUCGUAUAAAUAAGAUAAUGUCCUUUGUUAUUAUCCUCUCCAUUGUUACGCCAUCUCACCACCAAUAAAUAGAAGUUUUAAUGGAAGGAAGAGAUAUCAGGCAAAGGGUAAAGAGAGAGAGAGAGAGAGAGAGAUGAUGAUGAUGAAAUUCUUAGAAGAGAUAUAGGAUUUAGCUUGUAUUUUCUUAACUUGGAGAGAGAUGAUGAUGAAAUUCUUAGAAGAGAUAUAGGACUUAGCUUGUAUUUUCUUAACUUGGAGAAAUGCUUUGGAAUCGAGGUAGGAGUUUCUUGGUGACCUUUUAUAAAGAUUGAUCAAAUUAAAUUUCGUGAGCAUUAUAUCAUGCAUGAUAUUAUUAUUCGAUUAUUAUUGAUAUUGGGUGUUUAAGUGUUGUUAAUUAUCAUAUUAUUUUAUUAAUAUUGACAUGAUCAUAUGUUAUCGGUGAUGGCUAGAAUUCUUGGGUUGAUAAAGAAAGUAUGGAAAAGGGGGUAAUGGGAAGGAUCUUUUGUGUAGUUGAGUCUAACUCUUGAUAAGUACCAGGUCUCAGGGAUCCCGCAGCGCAUAUGGUUUUUAUUGGGUGAUUCAGGACUGGCGACAGGGAGUUAGACAAGAUGACUAACGAAAGGGGAAUUAUGGGAUGAUUGAAAUGGGUGUUAGUUCAUACAAAUGGGCAUUCGGGACCAAGUGGUAUAAGCAUGGUAUGGGACGUGCAAAUCUGCUUGUCCAGUUAUAUGAAUUAACAGGAGUAGAUGAAGAGCAUUCAUUCAUGCAUUAUUAUUAAUAAUGUGAUAUUUGGCUGUGUGAUUGCAUGUCACUUAAUUUAGAUAUAUCAAUCUACUGCGGUAAGGUCUCAUGUCCCUACUGAGCGGUGGUUGUUCAUUCCUCACCCUGUUUAAUUUUUCAGAUGAAUUAGUAGGCAAGACAAAGACUAAACCAGUUGAGGCUAAAUUAGAUGAGAGUGAUAGAGCUUUAUUUUUUUAAUUUUAAAGUUGUAAGAUUUUGGGAGCUAUUUUUAUAAGAAAAGUUUAUUUUAUGUUUCAACUUCCUGUUAUUCUAUUUUACUUUUUAUUUUCUCAUGCACUGGGCACGAGGUUUCCACUAACCCCCAGGUCCGAGGCGUGACAGAAUGGUAUAAGAGCUUUAGGGAUUAAAUACCCUUGGGAACUGUGGUAUAGUAUUACCACAAAGUAAAUUUGAAUUGGUGAAGUAAGUUAGUGACCUAACUUUUCAGGAGCAUAUUUCUUUUUAUGAUUAAGUGUAGUUUACGGAAUAAUUGUUUAGUAUUGUUUUAUAUAUGUUGGUUUAAUUUGGUAGAAAUAUUUGGUAAAGGUUCAAUUGUUAAGAUAGCUAGAGUAGAUGGGAAACGUGACAAUGAUAAGAAUGGUAGCAUGAGGGUAAUACUAACCAUUCAGGAUAUGGCCUUUGCAAUACGUGAAACAAAUCAACAAAACCAAGAACCCCAUCAAGAGAUUCAAGGUUGUCAAACAAUGAGUGUUAAAGGAGAAAGAUAAAUGAACAAAGAGUUCUAGGAAAUCUGAAAGUGGCUAUUGCUUCUACCUAUUUGGGAGGAGCAAGGAGACUAGAAUAACUCACUCAAGGACAUGUGUAUGCUAUUGGACAAGUGACAAAGCAAAAUGAACCUACUAUGGUAGAAGGUACAUUUCUAGUUUACAACUCAUGGGCUAAGAUAUUGUUUGACCCCGGUGCUACAAAUUCAUUCAUCUCUAUUUCGUUUGCGUUUAUUCUUGGAUUAGAAUAUGAAUUUAUGAAAUCUUCAUUAAUGGUUGGAUCUCCAUUGGGUAAAUGUGUCGAAGUUAAUAAGGUGUGUAGAUCUUGCAUAAUAGAGAUAUCAUAUCAUAAACUUGUUGUUGACCUAAUGAUAUUGGAAUUAAUGGAGUAUGAUGUAAUAUUAGGGAUGGACUUGACCCAAUUUAAAGCUAUUUUUUAUUGUGGUAGAAAGAUGGUGACUAUGACUCUUAGCGAGGGAAAACAUGUAGUUUCUAUGGAAGUAGGAAUACUCACAUCAAUCUUGGAUAAUGGAAAUUGUAAUUAUUUGAGAUUGAUUGCUUACAUGGUCACUGAGGAUCUAAGUAAUACCAAGCUUGAGCUUAUCCAAAUAGUGAAAGAUUUCGGUGAUGUUUUCCCAGAAGAAUUAUAUGGAAUCCCCCUAGAAAUGGAGUUUUUCUAUAGAUAUUUAUCCUGGCAUGUCGCCUAUAUCUAUACCUCCACAUUGAAUGGCACCAAUAGAGUUGAAGGAACUCAAAACACAACUUCAAGAACUUGAAAGUAAAGGUUUUAUUCGUCCUAGUACCUUACCAUGGAGGUUUUUUCUCCAUUCUUUGUGAAGAAAAGUGAUGGAAGUUGUAACACCCCGACCUCAAAUUUAACCCUUAUUUAAGUAUUUAAUUAUUUAAGGGCAUUUUGGUCAUAUUUUUAACCGGAGAGAGUUUGGGGCAGUGACUAUGUCACAUCUCGGGAUCAACUCCGUCGUAGCACGAUAUUGUCCGCUUUGGGCCCCCCCUCUCUGGCCCUCACGGUUUUGUUUCUGGGAGCUCACGAGCAACUUCCCAGUGGGUCACCCAUCCUGGGAUUGCUCUGGCCCCAACUCGCUUAACUUUGAAGUUCUUACGACUUCGAAGCCAGUGAGCUCCCAAAAGGCCUCGUGCUAGAUGGAUGCGGGUGUGCAUAUAUAAGGCACAUCGCCCCCUCUCCGUUGGUUGAUGUGGGAUCUUACAAUCCACCCCCCUCAAGGGCCCGACGUCCUCGUCGGCACACUCACACCACACGGCAGAGUGGCUCUGAUACCAAAUUGUCACAUCCCGGAAUCAACUCCGUCGUAGCACGAUAUUGUCCGCUUUGGGCCCCCCCUCUCUGGCCCUCACGGUUUUGUUUCUGGGAGCUCACGAGCAACUUCCCAUUGGAUCACCCAUCCUGGGAUUGCUCUGGCCCCCAACUCACUUAACUUCGAAGUUCCUACGACUCCGAAGCCAGUGAACUCCCAAAAGGCCUCGUGCUAGAUGGAUGCGGGUGUGCACAUAUAAGGCACAUCGCCCCCUCUCCGUUGGUUGAUGUGGGAUCUUACAGACUAGUAUUUUUGGAUAGGUCGUACUGAGACGAGUUCAUAGACAUGUAGUGGGCUCGAAUCGGAGUUGUAACGAGAGAGAUAUGGUCAAAAGAAGCCCAGUGGCACAAUCGUAAAUAUUUCGAAAUAGGAUUUUUUUUAUAAAAACUCAGAUUUUCUCUCUCUCUCUCUCUCUCUCUCUCUCUCUCUCUCUCUCUCUCUCUCUCUCCCGCGGGUCUCUCUCUCCUCUCUCACGCGCGCGACGGCAGCUGGCCACGUUUUGGCCGGCCGUGCUCUCCUCCGACCACCAAUGACGACGGGACCGGUACCAAAAUGACCGGGCCGUCGUCCUCUCGAGCUGCUCUAGCUGAUGGUUGGGUAGGAUUAGAUCGAUUCUUAGCGUAGACAAUUCGAUUUUCGAAUUGAAAUUCGGCCGGUUUUGGGAUCGUGAUUCCGGCCACUUCCGGUCAGUUUUUGGGGUAGGUCCAAGAACAAAAGUGGCUCCAAAUAGGGUGUUAUACCUAGGGUAGGAGUUUGGAGCCGUCGUUUUGAGAUUUUCCGGCGAAGCGUUAUCGCUUUGGGCACCCACGGGCUGCCGGAGCGUGCGGCGGCGCGUGGGCACUGUAGAAAAAGUAGCAUGUGUUCCGAUGAGAUCCUUAGGUUGUCACGAGUGCGUAGGAUUUCGCGGAUCUCAAUUCGGACGUCGUUUGACUAUCGAACGGAUAUUCGCAUAUUGCGCGUUAUCCAGGUGCGAUAGGUUGGGGCCGUUGGAUGGACCCAAAUUUAAUAUAUGUUGAUCUAGGUAUUUCUAGGAUCGUGUAGGAAUUCACGGAUUGUGAAUCGGAGCCCCGAAUGUUCCGAAAAAUAAUUUUAAAGUUUUUAUUUUAUAUUAACCGUCAGAUCGUGCGAUCGUGAGCGAUCCGACCGUCCGAUCUGAAUCAAACUUGCAGGACAAGAGUCCUAUACCUGGUAGAACCCAUAGGGACUCUCGGAUCGGAAAUUGGAGGUCGUGGGUUCCGCAGGUCCUUUUGACCAGGGUUAUAGUAGUUUGACCCUUGGUUGACCGUGAGUCUCCCGGAGUAAUCUCACCUUUCUAGGGGAGAUUAUCGGGUACUAGAUUAUUGUGGAGGGUUACACAAUAUUAGAAUUAAUUUAUAUAUUUAUAAUUAUAAUAUGUUUGUACAAGAGUACAAAAGAGUCUAGACUGUCAGUUUGGAGUGCUAUACGCACUACUUUAGGUACCUUCCCGAAUUUUGGAUUCACUACAAGCACCACCAAGUGAAAGUUAGGUCUCACAUGGCGUAGGUUAUCCGGCGUUGAGACAGGCCCCAUACGUGGCGUUGGUUGUACCGGCAUAUGGGGAGAUAUUGUGAUAUUGUGUUGAGGUCGCACGUGGCGUAGGUUAUCCGGCGUGUCGACAGACCCCAUACGUGGCGUUGGUUGUACCGGCGUAUGGGGAGAUUUUUGAUAUGAUAUUGAGGUCCCGCGUGGCGUAGGUUAACCGGCGUUGGGACAUGCCCCAUACGUGGCGUUGGUUGUACCGGCGUAUGGGGAGAGAUGUGAUAUGAUGUGCAGGUCUCGCGUGACGUAGGUUAUCCGGCGUUGUGACAGAUCCCAUACGUGGCGUUGGUUGUACCGGCGUAUGGGGAGAUAUUAUGAUAGUAUGGCAUGGUCGCACGUGGCGUAGGUUAUCCGGCGUGUUGACAGGCCCCAUACGUGGCGUUGGUUGUACUGGCGUAUGGGGAGAUAUUAUAUGAAAUACAAAGAAAUGAAAUAAGGUAUCGCCCAAGUGUGGAAUUGGGUUUUAUGGAAGAACUACGUGUGGCUUGAUCCCUCAAGGAGGGUACGUAGGCAGCCUAAGGUUAUUAGCUGCAGCCGCAGACUAAAUAUUAGUCAUAAUUGGUAUUUGAAUUGUUUGGUAGUUGGUUAAGAAUUAUUGGAAGGCCGAAGGCCAUUUGUGCGAAUUGCAUGAAAUUAUAUUGUGCAUGCUGCCAGUUGGGAAUAUUAAAUGUGUUUCCAUGCAGGUAUAAAUUUUGGGAAAUGUCCAAUUUAUAGGGGAGACUCUGCCGAAUUUUCGGCAGGAAGUCUCGAUUUUUAGUAUUUGGGCCUGAUAUCGGGAGGAUGUCGGGAAUUUCAAAGGGUUCGCCUCGAGUUCUGAAAAAUUCGGGGCGGGUCCUUUCAGAAGUCUUAGGAUGUGUUUUGUUGCAAGCUAACAAAGUAGUUGCAUACGACUUUUUUCAAUUGAAAUGACAUGAAAAGAAUUAUCUAACACAUGAUCUAGAAUUGGCAACCAUUGUUCACACACUGAAGAUAUGGAGAUAUUAUUUGUAUGGGGAACGUUUUGAACUCUUUUUGGAUCAUAAGAGUUUGAAGUAUUUAUUGACUUAGAAGGAGUUGAAUUUAAGACAAAAGCGAUGGAUGGAAUACCUGGAAGAUUAUGAUUUUGACUUACAUUAUCUUCCAGGAAAGGCUAAUGUGGUAACAGAUGCUUUAAGUCAAAAUCCUCAAGGAAUUGUAGCAAGUUUGUAUGAUCAAAGGUGGAAGAUGGUGGAGUCUCUUUACGAUUUUGACCUAUAUAUAGGUGCGCAUGAGGAUUGUGCAUAUCUAUGUAAUUUGGUAACUCACCCCACUUUGAUUGGAAGAAUAAUUGAGGCACAGGAUUUGGAUUCUAUGUCUGAAGACAUUCGAACUAAGAUUACAACUAGAAAGACACAGGAAGGAUGGAGUAUCCUCACAAGCAGUGGAUUAAGAUAUUUGAAUAAGUUUUAUGUACCAAAUAUUUCUGAUAUAAGAAAUGAAGUUCUCAGAGAAAGUCAUCAUUCACCUAUACAAUUCAUUCUAGAGGGACAAAGAUGUAUCGUGAUUUUAGACGUAAUUUUUGGUGGAGUAGUAUGAAGGGAGGUGUAGAAAUAUUUGCAGCAAAAUGUCUAACAUGUUAGCUGGUGAAAACUGAAUAUCAGAAACCGUCAAGUCCAUUACAGCCAUUACCAGUAGUAGAAUGGAAAUGAGAUCAUAUAACAAUGAAUUUUGUUACAGGUUUACCUAAAUAUCCAAAAGGACGUGAUGCAAUAUGGAUUAUGGUGGAUCGUUUGACCAAAUCUGCACAUUUCAUACAGUCAAAUCAAUGGAUUCCACUAAAAAUCUUGGAAAGCUUUACGUUAGAGAUAUAGUAAGAUUACAUGGAAUUCCUAUUUUGAUUGUAUCGGAUAGAGAUUCCAAGUUUACUUCUAAAAUUUGGGGAAGCUUACAGAAAGUGUUAGGUACGCAACUAAAUUUGGUACCGCCUUUUAUCCCCAAACUUAUGGACAAUUGGAGAGAACUAUUCAAAUUUUAGAGGACUUGUUGAGAGCAUGUAUUCUAGAUUUGGAGGGAAGUAGUUGGGAAGAUCAUUUAGUGGUAGUAGAGUUUGCCUACAACAACUAUCAGUCUAGCAUUCAGAUACCACCUUAUGAAGCUUUAUAUUGAAGACCUUGUCAAUCACCUGUGUGUUGGACUGAAGUAGGAGAAACUGUAUUGCUAGGACCUGGUUUGGUACAAGAGACAACUGAAGGGAUUAAAGUUAUCAAGCAACGUCUUUUAACUACUCAAAGUUGACAAAAGAACUAUGUAGACCGAAGAAGGAAAACAUUAAGUAUUGACGUGGGUGAUUAUGUAUUUCUUAAACUCUCACUACUAAGUGGAGUAAAAAAAGGUUUGGGAAGACUGGAAAAUUAUCACCAAAGUUUGUUGGACCAUUUGAAAUCUUAGAAAGGAUGGGUGAAGUAGCUUAUAAGUCAGCAUUACCACCUCAACUGUUGAAUGUACCUGAUGUUUUCCUUGUUUCUAUGCUUCGAAAGUAUGAGCCUGAUCCAACCCAUUUUCUAGAUUGAGGAGAGCUCAAUUUAGAUGAGGAACUGUCAUUUGAAGAAAGACCGACUCAGAUUUUGGAUUCUAAGGAACAAGUGUGACGUACGAAAAUAAUAUCAUUGGUCAAAAUUCUUUGGGUACAUGGGAAUACAUUGAAAGCUACAUGGGAAUUAGAAACUAAAAUGUGUAAGAAGUACCCAUAAAUUUUUCCCUUAUUCCAGUUUUUCUUUUUAAAUUUCGAGGACGAAAUUUCUUUAAGGAGAGUAGAUUGUGAGAGUCUGUUUCUUAAAUGUUCAUUAAAGAAAAAUAAAUGUUAUUAUAUAUUCUUAAGUAAUUAUCUUGCUAAGAAGGAAAUGUAUAUUUAUAAUUGUUUUACGUUUAUAAUACCAUUUCAAUAGUUAUGUGUAUAUUAUUUCAUUAAAUAUUUAUAUAUACAUAUGUUCUUUUGAAUAAAAAGGGUUAAAUUAUAUAUUUGUUCAUUAUUUCUUGGGAUGCCAUUAGAUGGUUAUUGGGUGCUUUAUAUACAUAUAUAUUAAUAACAUGGAUUAACAGUUUAGACCUGGCAUCCUUACAUUGUUUUCUUGGAGAGAAUGACUGUUUCUCUCUUAUCUUAAUUUGGAUGCUGGAUGUGGUUUUUUCCAUUAAAUUAGUUGAUGCAUUACCAUGCAUUUGGACAGCUCAUGCUUACAAUUUGGUGAAUAAGUCUAUCUUAGCUUGAGGUGGAGUUUAUAAUUUCAAUAGGUGUCACAGCCUUUGGAAAUAAAUCUCCUGGCGUUGACACAUAUAUAGCAACUUAUAAAAAAGAGUGGCGACCAAGUUAUCUUUUUGUAUAGAUAAGAUAAUGGGCUUUGUUAUUAUCCUCUCCACUGUUACCGCCAUCUCACCACCUAUAAAUAGGAGUGUUAAUGAAAGGAACAUAUAUCAUGCAACAUGAGAGAGAGAGAGAGAUAUGAUGAUGAUGAUGAAAUCCUUGGAAGAGAUUAGGACUUAACUUGUAUUUUCUUAACAUAGAGAUAUGUUUUGGAAUCGAGAUAGGAGUUUUUUGGUGACCUUUUACAAAGAUUGAUCUAAUUAAAUUUUGUGAGCACUAUAUUAUGCAUGAUAUUAUUAUUUGAUUAUUAUUGAUAUUGGGUGUUUAAGUGUUGUUAAUUAUCAUCAUAUUAUUUUAUUCAUAUUGACAUGAUCAUAUGUUAUCGGUGAUGGCUGGAAUUCUUGGGUUGAUAAAGAAAGUAAGAAAAAGGGGGUAAUGGGAAGGAUCUUUUGUGUAGUUGAGUCUAACUCUUGGCAGGUACCAGGUCUCAAGGAUCUCGCAGUGCACAUGGUUUUCAUUGGGUGAUUCGGGACUAGCGACAGAGAGUUAGACAAGAUGACUAACGAAAUGGGAAUUAUGAGAAGAUUGAAAUGGGUGUUUGUUCAUAUAAAUGGGCAUUUGGGGCCAAGUGGUAUAAGCAUGGUAUGGGACGUGCAGGUCUGCUUGUGCAGUCAUAUGAAUUAACAGGAGUAGAUGAAGAGCAUUCAUUCAUGCAUUAUUAUUAAUAAUGUGAUAUUUAGCUGUGUGAUUACAUGUCACUUAAUUUAGUUAAAUCAAUCUACUGUGGUGAGGUCUCAUGUCCCUACUGAGUGGUGGUUUCUCAUCCCUCACCCUGUUUAAUUUUUCAGAUGAAUUAGUGGGCAUGACAAGGACUAAAUCAGUUGAGGCUGAACUAGAUGAGAGUGAUAGAGCUUUAUUUUUUUUAAUUGUAAAGUUUUAAGAUUUUGGGAGCUAUUUUUAUAAGAAAAGUUUAUUUUAUGUUUCGGCUUCUUUUUAUUCUAUUUUACCUUUUAUUUUCUCAUGCACUGGGCACGGGGUUUCCACUGACCCACGGGUCCGGGGCGUGACAAGGGUUAAUCGUUUUAUUCGUUCUUGGACUUAGACCUGGUUUGCAUUUGAGUACCUCAAUUUCCAAAAUCGUUCUCAUAUUCCUUUAACUUCACUUUUGUUAGGACAAAUGGUCCAGCCAUUAAUUUUGUUAACUUUUUCUGUUAAAUGCAGGGGCAAAAUGGUAUUUUUAUAUUAAAACCAAAAGAAUAAAUAAAUAAUCACAUCUUUAAAAUAACAAUAAAAUCAAAUCAAAUAAAAAACCAACCAAAAAAAAAUCGAGUUUGGGAAGAGUAGAAAUCGGGAUAGAGGGGGAGAGAGAGAGUUUAAUUUUAAUUUUUUAUUCAUAUUUUAAUCAAUUUAAUACAAAAUGAGGAGAACUACCCCCCCUCUUCUUCUCUUUUUAUUCACUACAUGCCAUGUAAAGAGAAGAACUAAAUGAGGUUAGGUUAUUAAAAUUGGGUGAGCUAGGAUUCUAUUUUUUUUGGCUGGAAAAAAGAAGCCACCUGGGUUGCCAAACUAAAGGUACAUCCGUGGGUAAGCUAGGAUUUUAUUUUUUUUUGGCUUGAAAAAAGAAGCCACCUGGGCUAUAGCCCAGGUUUGCCAAACUAAAGGAAGGUCUGUGGGUGGGCUAGGAUUUUAUUUUUUUGGCUGGAAAAAAGAAGUAGGUUUGCCAAACUAAAGAUCCGUCUCUGUUUCCACUUCAACCCAUUUACAAUCAAACUAUUUUAUGACUAAAACACUUCACAUUAAUGAUAAUUUUAUUAAACUAAAACACAGUUUUAUGAGUCUACUUAUGGAGAAAAACUUAGUUGCAAUGAGAUAACACUAUUUUGCUAUCCUUAUUUCAUAAAAGUCUUUCUCCUACUUAUGACUAUGGUUGCAGCCUGCAAUAUUCUUAAAAUAAUAAAAAAAUAAAAAAAAUAAAAAAAGUAGCUAUUCUGAAGGACAUUACCUCACUUUUGCUGUAUAAAUACUCUGCAUUUGCAAGCACUGCAAUGCACACACAAAAGCUAAGAUGGAUUCCAGAGAAGUAGCAACUAAGCCACACGCUGUUUGCAUUCCAUUCCCUUAUCAAAGCCAUAUAAAGGCAAUGCUUAAAUUUGCAAAGCUCCUCCACCACAGAGGUUUUCAUAUAACCUUUGUUAACACAGAGUUCAAUCACAAGCGCUUUCUUAAAUCUCAAGGACCCAAUUCCCUUGUUGGCUUGCCUGAUUUUCAAUUCGAUGCCUUCCCGGAUAGCCUUCCGGAUUCAGAUGAAGAUGCCACACCAGAUGCCACCUUGCUUUGUGAAUCCAUCAGAAAAAAAAAAUUCUUGGCUCCCUUUCAUGCCCUCCUUGCAAAACUCAACAAUGAUGCCAUAUCAACAUCCCACAAUCCUCCUGUGACUUGCAUAGUUUCAGAUGGUUUCAUGUCCGCGUUCACAAUCACAGCUGCUGAAGAAAUCGGAGUCCCUAUAGCGCUGUUCUACACU
This 75785-nucleotide long non-coding RNA is filed under the name Prunus persica (peach). RNAcentral's name for it is "long non-coding RNA (PPER_LNC004347)". The record is from RNAcentral. Lineage: Eukaryota; Viridiplantae; Streptophyta; Magnoliopsida; Rosales; Rosaceae.